UGACAUAACAUUACACAUGUCAUAAUAUAUUUGCCGCAUCAAAUUUUAAAAAUAACAAAACCUAUCUUAAUAAAUUUAAUUGCUACCAUUUAAUCUCAUGUUCUAUGUUCCCUUGAAGUUGAGCACCUUGAUCCACUAAAUCUUUCCUCUUUGUAUACCCUCCUCAAGCACAAGCAAACGGCAACCCCAACUAAUAUACCCACACUUGCCACUGGAACCAUGAUCCAAACCCACAGUUGAUUGCCAUUUCCUCCUAUAUCAGCAUCAGAAAACGCCCACGAUUUCACACAGUUGAGCUCAGUUUCAUUGCUUGUUGAACCAAAGAAUCCCAUGAAAAUCUUCUGCGGAAGAUAAGUAGAGAGAUCUACAGGCUAAGAAAAGCACAAGUGUCUGGUUGUCCCCAAUGAAAACUGACACGUUUCAGCCGUCAUAACACAGAUGCACCCUUAAAUCCUGACCUCCGGCUGAAAUGUAAACAUCGUAGUUGCUUAAAGAAACUUGCUUGGCCGACUGGAUUCUGUUUAUAUUUAACCCAAUAUGGUUGCCCUCUAUGUCUUGCUCAUCACUCUUCCUGGUGUCAAAUUCCACCGCCACACUGGCUUGAGAAGAACCAUUUGUGUUCGCAUUUACCAUCCCCAGCCACCAUCCUUGGCUGUUGUCCGGUAGGCUGGAGUUGUCGUUUAUUAAAAAGGCAACGCCUUCGCCACCACGAGAGGUUUGGUUGAGGAUAUUGAGGACGAACUCAUAUUGAAAGAAGCAAUGGUGGUGUGGUUGCCUUUCCAAAGCCGAAAUGGUUUCUUAUAAAGAGCUCGUCCAGAAAAGUUUUCCAUGGAACCUCCAUCAACAUCUGGAGUAACUUGGAUGGCUCUAAGAACUACGUAAGAAUUCCUACUCAAGAUAAGCUGGCCUUCAUCUUCUUUCUGGAAAAUUGAACUAAAAACAGGUUACUUGAACAAGAAAAACUGCUGGGAUUAAAAAAUAGGCUAAAAGAGAAGACCCCAUGCUAGCUGCAAAAUGUGGCUAAUCCCAUUCAUUCAAAGUCCAAAACGGAGUAAUGACUUCCCCUGGUUUUCCAUAAAUCAGUGCUAAAGUUCCCAACCUAUAUAUAGUGUUGACAAAUUACCAAUUGCUGCAAUACUGUAUGUAUAUUCUACGAUAAUCAUAUAUUUUCAACAUAUCAAUUCUUUUUUACUCAUAAUCACGUAAACAUAAUUAUGACUAAAAAAAUACAGACUGUAUGCUUGUUCCAUGCUGUUUUGCCAGACAGUUCUUUCCCCCCACUUAACAUUGCCGUUCCAAGGGGGUAAUUUUUUCUUGAAUAAGUUGGUUUAAAAAUAUCCCUAAUUUCAACAAAAGAAUCAGUCUACGCACCUUUCCAAUAUUAUUUAUAUAUUUUGUUUGAUUUAAAUCUUACACAUCAUUUAAAGUUAUCGUGAAAUCUUGUAACUUGUUCAUUUAAUUAGAUUGAUAUUGAACACUAGUCAUUCGAGCACGUUAAAAAGAAUAAAUUUUAAAAUUAAUAAAAUAAUCAAGUUUAUUUUAUUUUAUUUUAUUUUAUUAAAAUUUAUCUUUAAAAAACCAUAUUUUAAUUAACUAAUUACUAUACUUAUUAUUUAAUUGAAUAAUAUGACUACUCGACCGAAUCAGUGAACCUGAAAGCUACAAUAAUAUUUACCGAACAAAGAACAGCAAUGGCUCAUACCAUUGAAAUCUGUUGAAUUUAGUUCCCAUGCAAGACAUGCAAAGGUGGCCAUGCAAGGAGAAGUGGCAGCAAGCAGUCUAGCUAUGAAGUGCAGAAACUGGAGCUUGAAGUUGCCUAACUACUUGUUAUGUUUUGAUUGUAUUUUUUAAUUAUUAUUUUGUAAUCUAGUUCAUGUUGAACUAAGUUGGUAAACCUUAUGAUGUUUUUGUUGAUUGAUUGACUAAAAAAUCAGCAAAGAAACUUAAGCAAGCUGAUUAACAAUUUCCAAUGUAAAUUUAGUGGUGUUAGGUAUGUCAUUAGGUAAAGACUUGUUUAUUUUGUUGUUGUUAUCUAUUAUAUGUAAUGGCAUUAUGCCUUCUUGAUUUGUUAAUGAAAAUAUCAGCUCUUUUCAUUCAAAAUACUCUCUCUUAAUUUCUUUUGUUUUCCAUUCGCAUGUGUUUCUGUUUUUGCUUCUGAGUUUGUUUCUUCAGCAAAGCUCGAGGCUUGCUAUACAAGCAAGAUUGAAAACAGUCUGUUGUUGUCUCUUUGCACCAACAAUUGGUAUCUAGAGCUUCAUUCUUAGUGGGACUGUUUUAUCAAACUAAGAAAGCUGAAUGUCUUCCUCAAGUUUUUCACCAGCAGCCCCACCAGUCUUCAAUGGAGAAGGCUUCCACAUAUGGCUGGUCAAGAUGAAGACUUACCUACAGGCCUUUGAUCUGUGGGAAGUUGUCAACACAGAUGCUGAGCCAGCACCACUGAGGGCCAAUCCCACAGUAGCUCAGAUUAGGCAACAUGCUGAUGAGAGGACCAAAAGGCACAAAGCCAUGUCCUGCAUUCAGAAUUGUGUGUCAGAUGUCAUCUUCACCAGAAUUAUGGCCUGUGAGACUCCAAAACAGGCAUGGGAUAAGCUUAAGGAGGAGUUUCAAGGCACUGAGAGAACAAGGCAACAGCAGCUAUUGAAUUUGAGAAGGGAUUUCGAGAACCUGAAGAUGAAGGAAGAAGAAACAGUGAAGCAGUAUGCAGAUAGAAUCAUGGCAGUGGUUAACAGUAUAAGGCUCCUUGGUGAGCACUUUGAUGAGGCAAGGAUAGUAGAGAAAGUCCUCUCCACUUUGCCUGAGAGAUAUGAGGCCAAGAUAUCCUCUCUUGAGGACUCAAGAGACCUUGGUACCAUCUCUUUGACUGAGCUAAUCAAUACUUUCUAUGCUCAGGAACAAAGGAGAGCUAGCAGAGCUGAAGACCACCAGGAAGGUGCAUUCAAUGCCAAGGCCAGAGAAGCCUCGAGCAUCAAUGCUCCAAGAGGUAAAAAGCCUUGGAAAAGCAGGCCUAAGCCUGAUACUGCAAGGAGCAAUGACCAGCCCUGCAGACAUUGCAAGAGGCCAGGUCAUCCAGAAGACAGAUGCUGGUUCAGGCCAGAUGCAGUAUGCCAACACUGCAAGAAGAAAGGCCAUGUUGAAAGGGUUUACAAAAAUAGAACCAAGUCAAGGCAGAGUCAAUUUCAACAACCAAAGGUUGAAGCUCGAGUAGCUGAAGACAGUAGUGAUCAAGAAGAGCAGGUCUUUGCUGUUUCUUGCUUAGCUGCUGAGAAGAAAUGCUCAAAAGGCUGGUUAUUGGACAGUGGUUGCACUAACCACAUGUCACCAGAUGCCUCCUUGUUUAAAACCUUGGAUAGAAGUUGCAAAACCAAUGUCAUGGUUGGAAAUGGUUAGUUCAUAAGGGCUGAAGGAAGAGGAGAGGUGCUAAUAUGUACCCCCAUAAGCAACAAGAUCAUCCCAAAUGUGCUGUUAGUGCCAGAAAUCGACAGAAACCUUCUCAGCAUAGCUCAAUUGCUCGAGAAAGGCUAUUCUGUUGUGUUCAAGAACAAACAGUGCCACAUUGCUGAUCCAAGUGGAUCAAGCCUUAUGACAGUCACAAUGACUGACAAAUGCUUUGAGGUACACUGGCCAAAUGACUCAAAGUCUGCAUAUACAGCCUCUGUUGAUGAUUCCAAGCUUUGGCAUCAAAGGCUUGGGCAUGCCAACUUCAGAUCAUUGGCUCGAAUGGCCAAAGAGGGCUUGGCAGAGAACUUUACUAGCUUAGUGGAGCAUGAUGAUGUGUGUGAAGUUUGCCAGAUGGGGAAACAGGCAAGACUGCCAUUUCCUACAAAUUCAGCUUGGAGAGCUACUGAAAAACUGCAGCUGGUGCACUCUGAUGUAUGUGGCCCGAUGAAGACUGAAUCACUCAGCAAAAAUAGGUAUUUCAUCCUCUUCAUUGAUGAUUUUACAAGUUUUUGCUGGAUUUUCUGCUUAAAACACAAGUCAGAGGUAGCUCAAGUGUUUGUGAAGUUUAAAACUGCUGUAGAGACAGAAACAGGUUGCAAGCUGAAAUCGAUAAGGUCAGACAAUGGCACUGGGUACACUUCAGCUCAGUUUCAAGCCAUUUGCAAUGAUGCUGGUAUCAAACACCAGCUUACAAAUGUCUACACACCUCAGCAGAAUGGGGUAUCAGAAAGGAAGAACAGAAGCUUGAUGGAUAUGGCCAGGUGCCUGCUGUUUAAGAAGAAACUGCCCAAGACCAUGUGGGCUGAGGCAGUAAACACUGCUGUUUACCUUCAAAAUAGGCUUCCUACCAAAGCUCUUGCAUCCAAAACACCUUUCGAGGCUUGGUCUGAUUUCAAGCCUUCCUUGGCACAUUUGAAGGUGUUUGGUUGUCUGUGUUAUGCACAAAUACCAGCAGCAAAGAGAGACAAGCUCUCUAAAAGGGCUCAACCAGGUGUUCUAGUAGGCUAUAGCUCAGUUAAGAAGGGCUACAGGGUGCUGGAUCCUUUGACAAACAUAGUUCAAGUCAGCAGAGAUGUCAUCUUCGAUGAGAAGGCUUGCUGGAAUUAGGAAAAGAAUGAACCAGAAGCUGCUUCAGAAGACCUGGUGCCUAAUAAAGCUGAACUUGAGCAGGUAGGACCUGAAAUAGAUGUUGAUGAUGUGCCUGUGAGAGGCACAAGGCCCCUAGAUGAUAUUUAUGAAAGGGCACAGGUUGCAAUAGCAGAACCUAGCAGUUUUGAAGAGCCUGAGGCAGAUGAAGGCUGGAAACUAGCUAUGGUCGAUGAAAUCAACAUGAUUGAGAAGAACCAAACAUGGGAGCUACCAUUGGAGUAAAAUGGGUCUAUCGAGCAAAACAGAAUGCAGAUGGCAGUCUGAACAAGCUAAAAGCCAGGCUUGUUGUCAAAGGUUUUAGCCAAAGGUAUGGUCUGGACUACCUGGAGACAUUUGCACCAGUAGCCAGGCUUGACACAGUUAGAAUGAUAGUUGCCUUGGCUGCUCAACAUCAGUGGACCAUUCAUCAGCUUGAUGUUAAGUCUGCAUUUCUCAAUGGUUUCCUGGAAGAAGAGAUCUACAUUGAACAGCCUCAAGGAUUUGUGGUCACUGGCAAAGAACACAAGGUGUACAGACUGAAAAAGGCUCUGUAUGGCCUGAAACAGGCUCCUCGAGCCUGGUACGCUUGAAUUGAUUCUUACUUGCUCAGUUUGGAAUUCGAGAGAAGUCUCAGUGAACCAACACUGUAUGUGAAGAAGAACCAAGCUGAAACUCAGCUUAUCCUGUCACUCUAUGUUGAUGAUUUAUUGGUAACUGGAGGAGAUAGAAGAAUACUGGAAGAUUUCAAAAGAAAAAUGACGGAAAUGUUUGAAAUGUCUGAUUUAGGCAGAAUGAACUACUUCCUUGGAAUAGAAGUGAAGCAAACAGCAAAGGGAAUCUUUCUUAGUCAGAGUUCUUUUACUAUGAAGAUCCUGGAUAAGUUCUCUCUGAAGAACUGCAAGCCAACAAGCACAACAAUGGCUGUUGGAGUGAAGCUUUCGAGGCAAGGGAGUGGUGAACCAAUUUGCGAGACUAUGUACAAAAGUCUCAUUUGUAGUCUGUUGUAUUUGACUGCAACAAGACCCGAUAUCAUGUUUGCUGUUAGUGUGCUAUCCAGAUACAUGAAUUGCUGCAAUGAUCAGCACUUUCAAGCAGCUAAAAGAGUGCUUAGAUACAUCAAAGGCACCAUUGAUCAUGGUGUAUUGUUCAAAAGGGCUGAAAACAUGAAGCUGAUAGGCUAUGUUGAUAGUGACUGGGCUGGAUCUUGUGAUGACAUGAGGAGCACAUCUGGAUAUGCCUUUAGUCUUAGCUCAGGCAUGUUUUGCGGGAGUUCUAAAAAGCAAAGUCUGAUAGCACAGUCAACAGCAGAAGCUGAAUAUGUUGCUGCUGCAUCUGCUGUAAAUCAAGCCAUAUGGCUUAGAAAAAUCCUAGCUGAUUUAAACCAAAAUCAAUGAAAGGCAACAGAGAUUUACUGUAACAACAAAUUUGCUAUUGCAAUUGCAAAGAAUCCUAUCUUUCAUGGUAGAACAAAGCACUUCAACAUCAAGCUACAUGUCAUAAGGGAGAUGGAGCAAGCUCAUGAAAUCGAGCUGGUUCAUUGCAAUUCAGAAGAGUAAAUUGCUGAUAUCUUUACAAAGGCACUCAAUGUGUCUAAAUUUGUUAAAUUAAGAAGGCAAUUAGGUGUCACUAGCAUGGAAACUAAGGAGGAGUGUUGAAUUUAGUUCCCAUGCAAGACAUGCAAAGGUGGCCAUGCAAGGAGAAAGCAAGCAGUCUAGCUAUGAAGUGCAAAAACUGGAACUUGAAGUUGCCUAACUACUUGUUAUGUUUUGAUUGUAUUUUUUAAUUAUUAUUUUGUAAUCUAGUUCAUGUUGAACUAAGUUGGUAAACCUUAUGAUGUUUUUGUUGAUUGAUUGACUGAAAAAUCAGCAAAGAAACUUAAGCAAGCUGAUUAACAAUUUCCAAUGUAAAUUUAGUGGUGUUAGGUAUGUCAUUAGGUAAAGACUUGUUUAUUUUGUUGUUGUUAUCUAUUAUAUGUAAUGGCAUUAUGCCUUCUUGAUUUGUUAAUGAAAAUAUCAGCUCCUUUCAUUCAAAAUACUCUCUCUUAAUUUCUUUUGUUUUCCAUUCGCAUGUGUUUCUGUUUUUGCUUCUGAGUUUGUUUCUUCAGCAAGGCUCGAGGCUUGCUAUACAAGCAAGAUUGAAAAUAGUCUGUUGUUGUCUCUUUGCACCAACAAAAUCAAAAUUGCCUUUAAGUCCUCUACAUAUCUUGAGCUGUGAAAUAAUCCACUCCAACAACAAAAUGCAUAAGAAACGUCUUUUAUCGCAUGUUACCUUCUCGCAAUACGUCAAUCAUAUUAUAUAUACGCUUGUCUGCCUUCGACUUCACCUGCACUUGAACAAUACUCACAAUCAAAGACACUGAUAUGAACAUAAAACUAAACCAACACGCUAGUCUCGCCAUGAAAUUUGUUAUAAUCAACAUUAUGAUCCCUAAGUGCUACUUUCCGUACCCUUAAGCAGUAAAUACAACCGGAUAUUGUUAACUUAACCAAAUUGCAUGCUCAAUUUCUCUGAAAUUUAAAUAUAGAGACACUAGUGCCACAAACUUUAAGUUCACAGAAAUCGAAGGCAGUAACAGUAAAAACAUUCGGUGAAACACUAGGAUAGAUUCAAACUGGCAAGAGAAAUAUAAAUAACAUCACCUUCUUAGCAAGGAAAAGUAUAGCAUCAACAGUUCCCUCUGCGUAUAUCGAUCUGCCGCAAACAUUAUGCUGAAACUCAAACGACACUCUGCAGAAGAAUUUUCAAUCGGAGAUCAUCGAAAGGUCAUUUGAUAGUUACAUGUUGAACAAGUGUUGUGUUUAGUUCCCAUGCAAAGGUGGCCAUGCACGACAUGCAAAGGUGGCCAUGCUGGAAGAAAUGGCAGCAAGCAAUCGAGCUGUGGUAUGCAGCAGUUGAAGCUUGAAGUUGCUGAUUUCCUUGUUGCAUUUUGUUACCCUUUAAGCCUUUUGUAAUUUAGUUCAAAUUGAACUAAUUAGGUAAACAUUUUGAUGUAUCUUUGAUGUUGAUUAACUGAUAAUUCAGCAAUACAACUUAAGCAAGUCAUAUUAUCAAGUUUCAAUGUAAUUUAGUGGUGUUAGGUACAAGAUUAGGUGGUAACUUGUCUAUCUUUGUGAUGUGUUAUCUCAUAUAUGUAAUGGCAUUAAGCCUCUUUGAAUGGUUAAUGAAAUCAACUCAUUUUUCAUUCAAAUUAUCUCCUUUCUUUUCUGUUUUCCUACUUGCAUUCUUCUUUUCUUUCUCAAUUGUUUUUUCUCCAAGCCUCGAGGCUUGCUGUCCAAGCAAAGCUUCAGCAGCUUGCUACUACCUUCAACACCAACAAUUGGUAUCUAGAGCUUAUUUCUUAAGGGAUCUGUUACACAAAUCCAUGGCUUCAUCAAGCUUUUCACCAGCUGCACCUCAAGUCUUCAAUGGAGAAGGCUACCACAUAUGGGUGGUCAAAAUGAAAACCUACCUGCAGGCUUUUGAUCUCUUGGAGGUGGUCAACUCAGAUGUUGAACUAGAGCCACUGAGAGCCAAUCCAACAGUGGCUCAAAUCAGGCAGCAUACUGAUGAGAGAACCAAGAGGCAUAAGGCAAUGUAUUGCAUCCAGAACUCAGUGUCAGAUGUGAUUUUCACAAGGAUUAUGGCCUGUGAGACUCCAAAACAGGCCUGGGACAAGCUCAAGGAGGAGUUUCAAGGCACUGAGAGGACGAGGCAACAACAACUGUUGAAUUUGAGAAGGGAUUUUGAGAAUCUGAAGAUGAAGGAAGAAGCAACAGUGAAGCAAUAUGCAGAUAGAAUCAUGGCAGUGGUUAACAGUAUAAGGCUCCUUGGUGAGCACUUUGAUGAGGCAAGAAUAGUGGAGAAAGUCCUCUCCACUUUGCCUGAGAGAUAUGAGGCAAAGAUAUCCUCCUUAGAGGACUCAAGAGAUCUUGCUAGCAUCUUUUUGAUCGAGCUAAUUAACACCUUUUAUGCUCAGGAACAAAGGAGAGCUAGCAGAGCUGAAGAUCACCAGGAAGGUGAAUUUCAAGCCAAGGCAAGAGAAGUCUCAAGCACCAAUGCUCAAAGAGGCAAAAAGCCUUGGAGAAAAAGGCCUAAGCCUGAUGCUACAAGGAGCAAUGACCAGCCCUGCAAACAUUGCAAGAGGCCAGGUCAUCCAGAAGACAGAUGCUGGUUCAGGCCAGAUGCAGUAUGUUAACAUUGCAAGAAGAAAGGCCAUGUUGAAAGAGUUUGCAAAAACAAAACCAAGCCGAGGCAGAAUCAAUUUCAACAACCAAAGGUUGAAGCUCGAGUAGCUGAGGACAAUAGUGACCAAGAAGAGCAGGUCUUUGCUGUUUCUUGCUUAGCUGCUGAGAAGAAAUGUUCAAAAGGCUGGUUAUUGGACAGUGGCUGCACUAACCACGUGUCACUAGAUGCCUCCUUAUUUAAAACCUUGGACACAAGUUGCAAAACCAAGGUCAAGGUUGGAAAUGGUCAGUUCAUAAGGGAUGAAGGAAGAGGAGAAGUGCUGAUAUGUACUCCUACAGGCAACAAAGUCAUCUCAAAUGUUUUGCUGGUACUUGAAAUUGACAGAAACCUUCUCAGUAUAGCUCAGUUGCUUGAGAAAGGCUAUUCAGUUGUGUUCAAUGACAAGCAAUGCCACAUAGCUGAUCCAAGUGGAUCAAGCCUUAUGACAGUCCAAUGACUGAUAAAUGCUUUGAGGUCCACUGGCCAAAUGACUCAAAGUCAGCAUACACUGCCUCUGUUGAUGAUUCCAAGCUUUGGCACCAAAGACUAGGGCAUGCCAACUUCAGAUCAAUGGCUCGAAUGACCAAAAAAGGCUUGGUAGAAAAUUUCACCAACUCAAUAGAGCAUGAUGAUGUGUGUGAAGUUUGCCAAAUUGGGAAACAGCCAAGACUGCCAUUUCCUACAAACUCAGCAUGGAGAGUCACUGAGAGGUUGCAACUGGUGCACUCUGAUGUGUGUGGUCCAAUGAGGACUGAGUCACUCAGUAAAAACAGGUACUUUAUCAUUUUCAUUGAUGAUUUUUCAAGAUAUUGCUGGAUUUUCUUCAUGAAGUAUAAGUCUGAGGUAGCUCAAGUGUUUAUAAAGUUCAAGACUACAGUUGAAACUGAAACAGGUUGUAAGCUGAAGUCAGUAAGGCCAGACAAUGGCACUGAGUACACUUUAGCUCAGUUUCAAGCCAUUUGCAAUGAUGCUGGCAUCAAACACCAGUUAACAAAUAUAUACAAACCUCAGCAGAAUGGGGUAUCUGAAAGGAAGAACAGAAGCCUGAUAGAUAUGGCAAGAUUCUUACUGUUUGAGAAGAAACUGCCCAAGACCAUGUGGGCUGAGGCAGUAAACACUGCUGUUUACCUUCAAAAUAGGCUUCCUACCAAAGCUCUUACUUCCAAAACACCUUUCAAGGCAUGGUUUGGCUUCAAACCUUCAUUGGCACAUCUGAAGGUAUUUGGUUGCCUGUGCUAUGCACAAAUACCAGUAUGAAAGAGGGACAAGCUGUCAAAGAGAGCUCAACCUGGCAUCCUAGUGGGCUAUAGCUCAGUCAAGAAGGGCUACAGGGUUCUGGAUCCCUUGACAAGUAAAGUCCAGGUGAGCAAAGAUGUCAUCUUUGAUGAAAAAGCUUGCUGGAAUUGGAAAAAGAGUGAACCAGAAACUGCUUUAGAAGACCUGGUGCUUGAUCAAGCUGAACUAGAGCAACUUGAUCCUGAAAUAGAUGUUAAUGAUCUGCUUGUGAGAGGCACAAGGACCCUAGGUGAGAUUUAUGAAAGGGCACAGGUUGCUAUAGCAGAACCUAACAGUUUUGAAGAGGCUGAGGCAGAUGAAUGCUGGAAACAAGCUAUGCUUGAUGAAAUGAAUAUGAUUCAAAAGAAUCAAACAUGGGAGCUGGUUGAUAAGCCAGCUGGAAAGAAGACCAUUGGAGUGAAAUGGGUCUAUCGUGCAAAACAAAAUGCAGAUGGUAGUUUGAACAAACUAAAGGCCAGGCUUGUUGUUAAAAGUUUUAGCCAAAGGUAUGGUCUGGACUACUUGGAAACCUUUGCACCAGUAGCCAGACUUGACACAACCAGAAUGAUAGUUGCUUUGGCUGCUCAAAAUCAAUGGACGAUUCAUCAACUUGAUGUAAAGUUUGCAUUUCUCAAUGGUUUCCUAGAAGAAGAGAUCUACAUCGAGCAACCUCAAGGGUUUGUGGUCACUGGCAAAGAACACAUGGUGUACAGGCUGAAGAAGGCCUUGUAUGGCCUGAAGCAGGCUCCUCAAGCCUGGUAUGCUCGAAUUGAUUCCUACUUGCUCAGUUUAGAGUUCGAGAGAAGUGCCAGUGAACCAACUUUGUAUGUAAAGAAAAAUCAAGCUGAGACUCAGCUUAUUCUGUCACUCUAUGUUGAUGAUUUUUUGGUAACUAGAGGAAACAAGAACAUACUGGAUGAUUUCAAGAGGAAAAUGAAGAAGAUGUUUGAGAUGUCUGAUCUAGGCAGAAUGAACUACUUCUUAGGAAUGGAAGUGAAGCAAACAGCGAAUGGAAUCUUUCUCAGCCAGAGUUUCUUUGCUAUGAAAGUCUUAAACUAGUUCUCUAUGAAGAAUUGCAAACCAACAAGCACACCAAUGGCUGUUGGAAUGAAACUAUCAAGACAGGAAACUGGAGAAUUAGUUUGUGAGACUAUGUACAAGAGUCUCAUUGGUAGUCUACUGUAUUUGACUGCAACAAGGCCCGAUAUUAUGUUUGUAGUUUGUGUACUGUCCAGAUACAUGAAUUGCUGCAACAAUCAGCACUUUCAAGUAGCUAAACGAGUGCUGAGGUACAUCAAAGGCACCGUUAACCAUGGUGUAAUGUUCAAGAGAGCUCAAGACAUGAAGUUAAUAGGCUAUGUCGAUAGUGAUUGGGAUGGAUCAUGCGAUGACAUGAAGAGCAGAUCUGGAUAUGCAUUUAGCCUUGGCUGAGGAAUGUUUUGCUGGAGCUCUAAGAAGCAGAGUCUGGUGGCACAAUCAAUAGCAGAAGCUGAAUAUAUUGCUGCUGCAUCUGCUGUAAAUCAAGCCAUAUGGCUUAGAAAAAUCUUGGCUGAUUUAAACCAAAAUCAAGAACAGGCAACAGAGAUCUAUUGUGACAACAAAUCUACUGUUGCAAUUGCAAAGAAUCCUGUCUUCCAUGGUAGAACAAAACACUUCAACAUCAAGCUACAUGUCAUAAGGGAGAUGGAGCAAGCUUAUGAAAUCGAGCUGGUUCAUUGCAAUUCAGAAGAGCAAAUUGCUGAUAUCUUUACAAAGGCACUCAAUGUGUCCAAAUUUGUUAAAUUCAGAAGGGAAUUAGGUGUCACUAGCAUGGAAACUAAGGAGGAGUGUUGAGUUUAGUUCUCAUGCAACGGUGGCCAUGCACGACAUGCAAAGGUGGCCAUGCUGGAAGAAAUGGCAGCAAGCAAUCGAGCUGUGGUAUGCAGCAGUUGAAGCUUGAAGUUGCUGAUUUGCUUGUUGCAUUUUGUUACCCUUUAAGCCUUUUGUAAUUUAGUUCAAAUUGAACUAAUUAGGUAAACAUUUUGAUGUAUCUUUGAUGUUGAUUAACUGAUAAUUCAGCAAUACAACUUAAGCAAGUCAUAUUAUCAAGUUUCAAUGUAAUUUAGUGGUGUUAGGUACAAGAUUAGGUGGUAACUUGUCUAUCUUUGUGAUGUGUUAUCUCAUAUAUGUAAUGGCAUUAAGCCUCUUUGAAUGGUUAAUGAAAUCAACUCAUUUUUCAUUCAAAUUAUCUCCUUUCUUUUCUGUUUUCCUACUUGCAUUCUUCUUUUCUUUCUCAAUUGUUUUUUCUCCAAGCCUCGAGGCUUGCUGUCCAAGCAAAGCUUCAGCAGCUUGCUACUACCUCCAACACCAACAAUUGGUAUCUAGAGCUUAUUUCUUAAGGGAUCUGUUACACAAAUCCAUGGCUUCAUCAAGCUUUUCACCAGCUGCACCUCAAGUCUUCAAUGGAGAAGGCUACCACAUAUGGGUGGUCAAAAUGAAAACCUACCUGCAGGCUUUUGAUCUCUUGGAGGUGGUCAACUCAGAUGUUGAACUAGAGCCACUGAGAGCCAAUCCAACAGUGGCUCAAAUCAGGCAGCAUACUGAUGAGAGAACCAAGAGGCAUAAGGCAAUGUAUUGCAUCCAGAACUCAGUGUCAGAUGUGAUUUUCACAAGGAUUAUGGCCUGUGAGACUCCAAAACAGGCCUGGGACAAGCUCAAUGAGGAGUUUCAAGGCACUGAGAGGACGAGGCAACAACAACUGUUGAAUUUGAGAAGGGAUUUUGAGAAUCUGAAGAUGAAGGAAGAAGCAACAGUGAAGCAAUAUGCAGAUAGAAUCAUGGCAGUGGUUAACAGUAUAAGGCUCCUUGGUGAGCACUUUGAUGAGGCAAGAAUAGUGGAGAAAGUCCUCUCCACUUUGCCUGAGAGAUAUGAGGCAAAGAUAUCCUCCUUAGAGGACUCAAGAUAUCUUGCUAGCAUCUUUUUGAUCGAGCUAAUUAACACCUUUUAUGCUCAGGAACAAAGGAGAGCUAGCAGAGCUGAAGAUCACCAGGAAGGUGAAUUUCAAGCCAAGGCAAGAGAAGUCUCAAGCACCAAUGCUCAAAGAGGCAAAAAGCCUUGGAGAAAAAGGCCUAAGCCUGAUGCUACAAGGAGCAAUGACCAGCCCUGCAAACAUUGCAAGAGACCAGGUCAUCCAGAAGACAGAUGCUGGUUCAGGCCAGAUGCAGUAUGUCAACAUUGCAAGAAGAAAUGCCAUGUUGAAAGAGUUUGCAAAAACAAAACCAAGCCGAGGCAGAAUCAAUUUCAACAACCAAAGGUUGAAGCUCGAGUAGCUGAGGACAAUAGUGACCAAGAAGAGCAGGUCUUUGCUGUUUCUUGCUUAGCUGCUGAGAAGAAAUGUUCAAAAGGCUGGUUAUUGGACAGUGGCUGCACUAACCACGUGUCACUAGAUGCCUCCUUAUUUAAAACCUUGGACACAAGUUGCAAAACCAAGGUCAAGGUUGGAAAUGGUCAGUUCAUAAGGGAUGAAGGAAGAGGAGAAGUGUUGAUAUGUACUCCUACAGGCAACAAAGUCAUCUCAAAUGUUUUGCUGGUACUUAAAAUUGACAGAAACCUUCUCAGUAUAGCUCAGUUACUUGAGAAAGGCUAUUCAGUUGUGUUCAAUGACAAGCAAUGCCACAUAGCUGAUCCAAGUGGAUCAAGCCUUAUGACAGUCCAAUGACUGAUAAAUGCUUUGAGGUCCACUGGCCAAAUGACUCAAAGUCAGCAUACACUGCCUCUGUUGAUGAUUCCAAGCUUUGGCACCAAAGACUAGGGCAUGCCAACUUCAGAUCAAUGGCUCGAAUGACCAAAAAAGGCUUGGUAGAAAAUUUCACCAACUCAAUAGAGCAUGAUGAUGUGUGUGAAGUUUGCCAAAUUGGGAAACAGCCAAGACUGCCAUUUCCUACAAACUCAGCAUGGAGAGCCACUGAGAGGUUGCAACUGGUGCACUCUGAUGUGUGUGGUCCAAUGAGGACUGAGUCACUCAGCAAAAACAGGUACUUUAUCAUUUUCAUUGAUGAUUUUUCAAGAUAUUGCUGGAUUUUCUUCAUGAAGUAUAAGUCUGAGGUAGCUCAAGUGUUUAUAAAGUUCAAGACUACAGUUGAAACUGAAACAGGUUGUAAGCUGAAGUCAGUAAGGCCAGACAAUGGCACUGAGUACACUUUAGCUCAGUUUCAAGCCAUUUGCAAUGAUGCUGGCAUCAAACACCAGUUAACAAAUGUAUACACACCUCAGCAGAAUGGGGUAUCUAAAAGGAAGAACAGAAGCCUGAUAGAUAUGGCAAGAUUCUUACUGUUUGAGAAGAAACUGCCCAAGACCAUGUGGGCUGAGGCAGUAAACACUGCUGUUUACCUUCAAAAUAGGCUUCCUACCAAAGCUCUUACUUCCAAAACACCUUUCAAGGCAUGGUUUGGCUUCAAACCUUCAUUGGCACAUCUGAAGGUAUUUGGUUGCCUGUGCUAUGCACAAAUACCAGUAGCAAAGAGGGACAAGCUGUCAAAGAGAGCUCAACCUGGCAUCCUAGUGGGCUAUAGCUCAGUCAAGAAGGGCUACAGGGUUCUGGAUCCCUUGACAAGUAAAGUCCAGGUGAGCAAAGAUGUCAUCUUUGAUGAAAAAGCUUGCUGGAAUUGGAAAAAGAGUGAACCAGAAACUGCUUUAGAAGACCUGGUGCUUGAUCAAGCUGAACUAGAGCAACUUGAUCCUGAAAUAGAUGUUAAUGAUCUGCUUGUGAGAGGCACAAGGACCCUAGGUGAGAUUUAUGAAAGGGCACAGGUUGCUAUAGCAGAACCUAACAGUUUUGAAGAGGCUGAGGCAGAUGAAUGCUGGAAACAAGCUAUGCUUGCUGAAAUGAAUAUGAUUCAAAAGAAUCAAACAUGGGAGCUGGUUGAUAAGCCAGCUGGAAAGAAGACCAUUGGAGUGAAAUGGGUCUAUCGUGCAAAACAAAAUGCAGAUGGUAGUUUGAACAAACUAAAGGCCAGGCUUGUUGUUAAAAGUUUUAGCCAAAGGUAUGGUCUGGACUACUUGGAAACCUUUGCACCAGUAGCCAGACUUGACACAACCAGAAUGAUAGUUGCUUUGGCUGCUCAAAAUCAAUGGACGAUUCAUCAACUUGAUGUAAAGUUUGCAUUUCUCAAUGGUUUCCUAGAAGAAGAGAUCUACAUCGAGCAACCUCAAGGGUUUGUGGUCACUGGCAAAGAACACAUGGUGUACAGGCUGAAGAAGGCCUUGUAUGGCCUGAAGCAGGCUCCUCGAGCCUGGUAUGCUCGAAUUGAUUCCUACUUGCUCAGUUUAGAGUUCGAGAGAAGUGCCAGUGAACCAACUUUGUAUGUAAAGAAAAAUCAAGCUGAGACUCAGCUUAUUCUGUCACUCUAUGUUGAUGAUUUUUUGGUAACUAGAGGAAACAAGAACAUACUGGAUGAUUUCAAGAGGAAAAUGAAGAAGAUGUUUGAGAUGUCUGAUCUAGGCAGAAUGAACUACUUCUUAGGAAUGGAAGUGAAGCAAACAGCGAAUGGAAUCUUUCUCAGCCAGAGUUUCUUUGCUAUGAAAGUCUUAAACUAGUUCUCUAUGAAGAAUUGCAAACCAACAAGCACACCAAUGGCUGUUGGAAUGAAACUAUCAAGACAGGAAACUGGAGAAUUAGUUUGUGAGACUAUGUACAAGAGUCUCAUUGGUAGUCUACUGUAUUUGACUGCAACAAGGCCCGAUAUUAUGUUUGUAGUUUGUGUACUGUCCAGAUACAUGAAUUGCUGCAACAAUCAGCACUUUCAAGUAGCUAAACGAGUGCUGAGGUACAUCAAAGGCACCAUUAACCAUGGUGUAAUGUUCAAGAGAGCUCAAGACAUGAAGUUAAUAGGCUAUGUCGAUAGUGAUUGGGAUGGAUCAUGCGAUGACAUGAAGAGCAGAUCUGGAUAUGCAUUUAGCCUUGGCUGAGGAAUGUUUUGCUGGAGCUCUAAGAAGCAGAGUCUGGUGGCACAAUCAAUAGCAGAAGCUGAAUAUAUUGCUGCUGCAUCUGCUGUAAAUCAAGCCAUAUGGCUUAGAAAAAUCUUGGCUGAUUUAAACCAAAAUCAAGAACAGGCAACAGAGAUCUAUUGUGACAACAAAUCUACUGUUGCAAUUGCAAAGAAUCCUGUCUUCCAUGGUAGAACAAAACACUUCAACAUCAAGCUACAUGUCAUAAGGGAGAUGGAGCAAGCUUAUGAAAUCGAGCUGGUUCAUUGCAAUUCAGGAGAGCAAAUUGCUGAUAUCUUUACAAAGGCACUCAAUGUGUCCAAAUUUGUUAAAUUCAGAAGGGAAUUAGGUGUCACUAGCAUGGAAACUAAGGAGGAGUGUUGAGUUUAGUUCUCAUGCAAAGGUGGCCAUGCACGACAUGUAAAGGUGGCCAUGCUGGAAGAAAUGGCAGCAGGCAAUCGAGCUGUGGUAUGCAGUAGUUGAAGCUUGAAGUUGCUGAUUUGCUUGUUGCAUUUUGUUACCCUUUAAGCCUUUUGUAAUUUAGUUCAAAUUGAACUAAUUAGGUAAACAUUUUGAUGUAUCUUUGAUGUUUAUUAACUGAUAAUUCAGCAAUACAACUUAAGCAAGUCAUAUUAUCAAGUUUUAAUGUAAUUUAGUGGUGUUAGGUACAAGAUUAGGUGGUAACUUGUCUAUCUUUGUGAUGUGUUAUCUCAUAUAUGUAAUGGCAUUAAGCCUCUUUGAAUGGUUAAUGAAAUCAACUCAUUUUUCAUUCAAAUUAUCUCCUUUCUUUUCUGUUUUCCUACUUGCAUUCUUCUUUUCUUUCUCGAAUGUUUCUUCUCCAAGCCUCGAGGCUUGCUGUCCAAGCAAAGCUUCAGCAGCUUGCUACUACCUCCAACACCAACAACAAGAUGUAAGGUACAGGUGAAAAAGUUAAGUCAAUACGUUUGAUGAGGUGAUGUUAGAUGAUACAAAUGAAAGGCAUGACCAGACAGAUGCUCUUCUGGUACUCCCACCAUCUUAAUCUGCUGCUUGGGAUCCCAGAGCAUUUGUAUCUGGAAAAAGAAAUGGAGACAAGUUAGAAGUCCAAAACCUUGAAAGAACCAUAUGAUAAACGAAUUUAUGUCAUUCCUAAGAGUCAAAAUCUCCCAACCUUCUCCUACCCCCGUCCCCAGCCCCCAACCAAUAAGAAAAAAGAACUUGAUUUCUCUUUCAAUUACAAUUAAGAAUAUGUGAGAGCCACACACCUGAUCCAUGUCAAAUGACACCCCCAAUUUCUGAAAGUAAGAAAUAAUAGCCUUAGCAGUACCAGAAGUGUCCAAUUUGCCUGCUUGAUGGGACUCCAUCACCUAAUCAAAAUUAAUGAAGAUUAGCAAUAUGUAACCAAUAUGACAAAACACUAAAGAUGGUGCCUAAGAAAACUUAUUAUAAAUAAUAUUUAAGAAAAUGAGGCAUCCCAAAGGACUAUCAUAUCCGAAGACAAAGAUAAGCAACUGUAAACACAGGCCCAAGAAAACUUGUUACAAACAAAUUCCAUAUGGUAUGUAAACACUAAUGGAUAAAUCCAUCCACAAAUGUAAGAUCCAAAAGCUAACUGCUCCAAGUCAUGCUAUUCCUUCACAAUGUAUCAAACCGGCUUCUUGAUAUUGCUUCAAACAGUUGUAUUUUGCAGCCUCAAUUGUUGACAAGUUAUAACAUUAUUGGUUAUACCUAAUCAGCCUAAUUUGAAAAUAUUGUUUUUUCAAGCACUUUCAAAACGAAUAACCUUAUUUAAAGAAGUACCUGUAGGGAAUAUCCAGAGAAGGCUCCAGGAAACUACUCAGCCAUGAUCUCCAUCGCUGCAAGAAAUGCAACAACCUAAAAAAACCAUCAGUAUUAAGCAACCAAAAAAGGAAAUCUACGAUUCCAACAGUUAAAAUGGUAUUUCAACUGACUAAAGGUUAGAUGACCUGUUUCCUCAUUUGUGGCGAGAUCACAGCAUAAACCUUUGACUCUUCAACAGUCUUAUAGAGUCGAUCCGUGUCUCCACCAGUGGUGCCCAUAACAAAAGGUACUCCAACUUUGCCAUAGAGCUCAGCAUUAUCUAUAUUUAUCAAACACCCCAAUACCAUAAACAAUUUAAAAAGGUAAUUAACAGAAAGAUCAAAUCAUAACAUCGGACUUGAAUAGCAUGCAUAAAUUUAUUUAACAAGUCGUAACUUUUUUAAUGAUAAGCUGAGAAUAAUUCAAUCAUAGUAUAGAAUAUCACCACAAAAUAUCGCUUCAAAUUUUGGAGACAUUAUUCAACACACUUUCGAAGUGCUUGUCACUCAAGUUCAUUUUAGUUCCAUUUUCAUCAAAUAUGAAAAAUGAUUUAGUUUUAAAUGCAUGUUCCUGAAUAGGUUACCAUUAAUUGUGGCAGGAUUAAAACCAUUCCUUCAAGAUUAAAACCAAUGGGAUCAAGUGUCCCAAGAAAAGAAUAAAAAGCAGAAGUGUAAUUAAUAGACAAACUUGAGUUAUUAGUCAAGCCGAAUACAAACUUAAUAAUAUUUGGUUCAAAUAAUUCACAAGUCGUAUCGAACUUUUCAAUUUUAACAUACAUCUUAAAUCUUUUUAUAUUAUAAAAUUACAUUAUUUUCUUAAUAUAUAUUAUUAACUUCAAAUUUAAUUAUCAAAUUGAGCUCGAACUCGAACACAUAUAAGUUUAAUUGAACUCAAAUUAAAUAUUGAGUACAAAAAAUUAUCAAAAAAGCAGAAUACGAAAAUUACAAAGGGUGAAAUGUUUACAAAUAUCUAUAGUAUACAUUUGUAAUUCCCGAUGCUAUAUAAAGUUCUUAUUGACUUGAUCACUCAGAUCCACAUUAACCCCUAUCAGCCUCGUUCCCACUAACUUCUUUAUUUUUCCCAAGUAAUAUAAGGUGUAAUAAAAAGUAGAUUGAAUGACUAAGAAUUAUUUUGGGUUUGACGAACAUAUUACAUAAUUGUCAUUCUUAGAGCUAGCUUGAUGGUGAAUAAAAGGUGACAGUCUGGAUUUGUUCAUAUUUUAAGGUUACAUUGGUAUUCUCCUCACCUAAUAUACUAAACAACCUACUGUGUAAAGAGUGUGGAGGCUGGCGAAGAGAUCGCACCUGAACUCUUCAAUGCAAUUCAGCAAUCAUGGUGCUCGGUAAUCGUUUUUUUCAGAAAUCUAUGCCUUUUCAGGUUGGUUCUUGGAAGAGCUUGCUGAGAUUGUUAAACAAAAAAAACGACAUGGGACAUAAGGUAUUUCAAAUUUUCUACAAUGUGGAUCCAUCAGAUUUAAGAAAACAGAAAGAGAAAGUUGAAGAGGCCUUUGCCAAACACGAAGAGAGAUACAAAGAAGAUAGAGACAAGAUCCAAAGGUGGCGAAACGCUUUGACUCAAGUGGCUAACAUCAAGGGAUGGCAUUUAAAUAACAGGUAAUUCUUCUUUUCUUCUCUACUUUCUAGUUUAAUUGAAAAGUGUCAUAUUUCAAUAAAAGACCAAAUUUUGUAUUCUGGUUCCGCAACAGAUCUUGUUUUCUUAUUCUUGGUUCUUGUUUGCUUCCAUUAUGAUUCAAUGAGAUACAAAGUGCAUUUGAAAGAUAUCAACAAAAUUUUAUUCAAAAAAAUUAAAAUUUCUUUCUUCGUAGGCACGAAUCAGAAUUUAUUAGAGACAUUGUUAUGAAGAUAUCAGCAAAACUAUGUCAAACAUAUCCAGUUACUCAUAACGACUUGGUUGGAAUCGGUAAAACGACACCCGCAAGAGUUGCUUACACUCAAAUGUCACCUCAUUUUGAAGGUACAAGCUUUAUUGCUGAUAUUCGAGAAGUUUCAGACAAAUGUGGACUAGUUUCUUUACAAAAACAAUUUCUUUCACAAAUCUUUCAUGAUGAAUGCUUCAACUUUUUCAACUUUCACGAAGGGUGUUGGAUUUUUCAGCAAGAAAGAAAAACAGAAACGAAAGAAGCAAGAAAACUAAAUAAGGAACUCAGCAAAAGUAACUGAAAACUUCAUCAAAUUUUCAUUUAAAUUUUGAAAGAUAUAUGAGAGUUACAAGAGUAAUUUGUCAAUUACCUAAUGGUUAACUGCUCCCACUAAAUACAUAAAUAAAACUAACUUAAACUUGUACACAAAGAUAAGCUGACAUAUCAGCUAUUACAUCAAUACAAAUCAGCCAACAUAUCUUACUAACUUUGCUAUCAAAUUACAAAGAAAGAAGACUAAGUUGUAUAGGAACAAAAUAAUCAAAAUAUGUUGUUGCAUUCGGACCAGCUUCAUUUCUUCACUUCAGAACAGUGUUGCUGCUGGAGUUGAGCUGAAUUUGCUGCUGGUCUUUUGUUGCGAUGCAGGCCAAAGCUUAACACUCCUCAUUGGACUAUAUGCAACAAACACCAAUCUUUCUUUUCAAAGCUUCAAACUUGUUAGCUCCUAAUGGCUUGGUCAAAAUAGUAGCCAAUUGAGUUUCUGAGCUGCAAUGAAUAAGACUGACUUCCUUCGACUGCUCAGCUUCUCGAACAAAAUGAAACUUGAUUUUAAAAUGCUUAGUCUUACCAUGGAAGACUGAAUUCUUGGCUAUGGCAACUGCUGAUUGAUUAUCAACCUUGAUUUCAGUUGGUUGAGUUUGUUCUUUAUCCAAAUCAUACAAAAGCUUUUUAAGCCAAAUGGCUUGAUUAACUGAUGCUACAGUUGAGAUGUAUUCUGCCUCUGCUGUAGAUUGAGCAACAGUUUGUUGCUUCUGCAAACUCCAGCUAAAAACACUAGAGCCUAAGGUGAAGAAAUAACCUGAUGUACUUCUCAUGUCAUCAACUGAACCAGCCCAAUCACUGUCAGAAUAACCAACAAGCUUUAACUCCUUUGCCCUUCCAAAAUUUACACCAGAAUUAAGGGUUCCUUUGACAUAUCUUAAUACCCUUUUUGCUGCUUUAAGAUGAGCAAUAUUACAAUAGUGCAUAAACCUUGAAAGAAGGCUAACAGCAUAUACAAUGUCUGGCCUUGUAGCAGUCAAAUAAAGUAAGCAGCCAACCAAACUCCUAUAUGCCUUUUCAUCCACACGAUCAUGCUCACUGGUGCUUGACAGCUUCUGUCCCAAUGCAACAGGUGUGGUAACAGAUUUACAAUUUGACAUACAGAAUUUCUCUAGCACUUUUAGUGCAAAUGUUUGCUAGCUUAUGAAAAUAUUUCCAUCUUCUUGGUUUCCUUCCAUGCCAAAAAAGUAUGUCAUCAAACCAAGAUCAGUCAUUUCGAAUACUUCUUGCAUCUAUUUCUUAAAGUCCAUAAUCAGCUCAUUUUUGCAACCAAUAACUAGCAAAUCAUCAACAUAUAGAGACACAAUCAACAAAGUCUCCUUUUUAGCUUUUUUGACAUAAAAAGUAGGCUCACUGACACUCUUUGUGAACCCAAGCCUUGCCAAAUAACUGUAUAUUCUUUCAUACCAGGCCUUUGGAGCCUGUUUUAGGCCAUACAAGGCCUUUUUGAGCUUGUAAACUUUAUGUUCUUCACCAGGGAUCUUAAAUCCUUCAGGCUGUUAUAUGAAGAUUUUUUCCUUGAGAAAUCCAUUUAAGAAGGCUGACUUGACAUCUAAAUGAUGUACCUUCUAGUGUUUUUGAGCUGCCAAGGUAAACAACAGCCUUAUGGUAUCCAACCAUGCAACAGGUGCAAAGGUUUCAGAGAAAUCAAUCCCUUGUUGCUGACUGUACCCUUUCACAACCAGCCUAGCAUUGUGUUUAUCCAGAGAACCAUCAGUAUUGUUCUUGGUUCUGAAAACCCAUUUGACACCAAUGAUCAUUCUAUUUUUAGGCCUAUUAACAAGCUCCUAAGUAUCAUUCUUGUGAAUCAUCCUCAAUUCAGUUUCCAUAGCCUCUUGCCAACAGCUCCUUUUUGCAGCUUCAUCAUAUUAGGAAGGCUCCACCAUGGUUACAGUACAUCUUUCAUAAGUGUUUGCUAGUGUCCUAGUACCUCUAAUAGGUACAUCAUCAUAGACAUAUUCAACUACUUCUUCAGUUUCAGUCUGCUACAGGUCAAGGUCAUUCUGAUCUUCAUCAAGCAGACUUGCCUCAAUUCCAUCCCAUUUCCAACAAUGUGCUUCACUGAACUCAACAUCACUGCUUAUUACAACCUUCUUAGUCAGUGGAUCAAAGACUCUAUAUCCCUUCUUUACACUGUUGUAGCCAACAAACACCCCUGGCAUGGACCUCUUUUCUAACUUAAUUCUUUUCUCUGCUAGUACCAGUACAAAACAUAAACAGCCAAAUACUUUCACAUGUAAGACAGAUGGUUUCUAUCCAAACCAAGUUUCAAAAGGUGUUUUACCUUUGACUGCAUUAGUUGGUAGUUUGUUUUGUAAGUAAAUAGUUGUGUUGGAUAUCUGUGAAUAAUACCUAGUGUAUGAAUAAUACAAAGUACCUAUUACCAUUUAAGGAGGUAGUCUUCAUAGGUCCACAGAUAUCUGUAUGAACCAGCUGGAGUCUUUCUUGAGCUCUCUAUACUUUGUUGACAGGGAAAGGUAGUCUGGUCUGCUUGCCAAGCUGACAGACUUCACACACUUCCUUCUUUGGCUCGAUCUUGGCAUCUUUUGCAACAUGCUCAGUGAAUUGUAGUUCACAUGCCCUAGCCUCCUAUGCCAUAAACUUGCUUCAUCAGUCUGAGAUGCAUAUUCACAUCCACAAUGAAGGUUUUAUCUUACAUGACUACUGUUGCUAACACCUGAUCAAUAGCAUCUUUGAUCACAUAGGUUUUGUCUUCAAAAACAAGAGAGUAACCCUUCUCCAGUAGCUGACCAACACUCAGCACAUUUUAAUCAAUGUCAAGUACAUAAAGAACCUCAGAAAUGGUUUUAUUACCUGACUUGGUGCCUAUCACAGCCUUGCCAUUCCCUCUUGCCUCCAAGAGUUCACCAUUGCUUAUUCUGACUUUGGACUUGAAAGUGGUGUCUAACACCUUGAAUAUGCUCUUAUCAGAGGCCAUGUGGUGAGUACAUCCAUUUUCAAUUAGCCAAAUCUUGCUAACCUUGCUCGAGCCUGCAAAACAUGAUGUUGAAAAGACAUGUUCUUCCUGUACUUCAACAUCCUCAGUAGCUUGAGCUUGAUUCUGAUACUGUGAUUGUGCUUUUGGCUUGUUUUUGUCUCAAUGUGGCCAAACUAUUUGUAGGCUCUACACUGAAUGUCUGGUCUGUACCAGCAGUAUUUUUCAAGGUGAGUAGUCUUCUUGCAAUGGAUACAAGGUGGAAAUUUCUUCUUGGUAGCCUCUUUCUUUUUUUUUUCUGUCUAAGGCUUCUUCCCUUUGGAAUUAGAGGUUGAACUUGAGCUUUCUUUGCUUCCGGCUUGAAAAGUUCCCUCAAAGUGUUCUUCCAUUCUGUUUGCCCUUCUUUGCUCUUAUGCAUAAAGAGCAUUUAUUAGCUGAGUCAAAGGAAUUGUUGAUAGGUCCCUUGAAUCCUUUAGAGAAGAAAUUUUUGCUUCAUACUUCUCUGGUAAGGUUGUUAUGACUUUUUCAACUACCCUUUGAUCACUAAACUCUUCCCCAAGCAGUCUUAUAUUGUUGACAGUGGCCAUAAUUCUGUCAGCGUACUGCUUAAUGGUUUCUGAGUCUUUCAUUCUCAGAUUCUCAAAGUCCCUUCUUAAAUUAAUUAGUUAUUGCCACCUAGUCUUGUCUGACCCCUGAAACUCCCCCUUGAGUUUAUUCCAUGCCUGCUUUGGUGAGUCACAGGCCAUAAUUCUUGUAAAGAUAACAUCAGAAACUCCACUUUGAAGGCAUGACAUGGCCUUGUACUUCUUGGCACAGUCUUCACUAUGUUGCCUGAUCUGAGCUAUGGUCGAGUUAGCUCUUAAUGAUGGUGGCUCAGUGUCAUUUAGAACAAUAUUUCACAGGUCAUGUACCUGCAGAUAUGUUUUCAUUUUCACUACCCAGAUGCUGUAAUUUUCACCAGCAAAAAUAGGUGGAGGAGGUGGUAAAAAACUCAUCUUUACAGUAACAAAAAAACCAACAAAAACAACUUCUGCUUCUUUUUUUGUGCACAAAUCACUUAAAGACAGUGCACAACCAAAGCCCUCAAAGACAGUAGGCUCUUGAUACCAUUUGUUGGAUUUUUCAACAAGAAAGAAAAACAGAAACGAAAGAAGCAAGAAAACUGAAUAAGGAACUCAGCAAAAGUAACUAAAAACUUCAUCAAAUUUUUAUUCAAAUUUUGAAAGAUAUAUAAGAGUUACAAAAGUAAUUUGUCAGUUACCUAAUGGUUAACUGCUCCCACUAAAUACAUAAACAAAACUAACUUAAACUUGUACGCAAAGAUAAGCUGACAUAUUAGACAAAAGUAAUUUGUCAGUUACCUAAUGGUUAACUGCUCCCACUAAAUACAUAAAUAAAACUAACUUAAACUUGUACACAAAGAUAAGCUGACAUAUUAGCUAUUACAUCAAUACAAAUUAGCCAACAUAUUUUACGAACUUUGCUAUCAAAUUACAAAAAAACAAGACUAAGUUGUAUAGGAACAAAAUAAUCAAAAUAUGUUGCUGCAUUCGGACCAGCUUCAUUUCUUCACUUCAAAACAGUGUUGCUGCUGGAGUUGAGCUGAAUUUGCUGCUAGUCUUUUGUUGUAAUGCAGGCAAAGCUUAACAAAGGGAAUGCCAUAAUUAACCAUAGGUUGUCUCACAAAAAGGUUCUUGUUGUUCUUGAUAACGUUGAUAACAUACAACACCUAAAAUGCUUGGUUGGAAGGCAUGAUUGGUUCGGAUUAGGGAGUAGAACCAUUAUAAGAACAAGAGACGAACAUUUGCUUCGAUGUUGCCAAGUUGAUGAUAUGUAUAUGCCCACAACACAGAAUCCCAAAGAUGCGCUUCAUUAUUUCAUCUCAAAGCUUUCCAUUGUGAUACAGUGCCAAAAGAUGAUUUCAUUGAACUUUCUAAACAUGUUGUAAAUUAUGCUGAUGGGCUCCUUUUAGCUCUUGAAGUUUUGGGUUACUUUUUGUGCAGUAGAGAUGCAACUCAAUGGAGAAGUGCAAUUGAAAGACUUAAAAGAGAUUCUAAUAAAGAAAUUCUCGAUAAACUUCGAAUCAGUUUUGAUGGAUUGGAAGAAAAGGGGAAGAAUAUAUUUCUAGAUAUAGCAUGUUUCUUCAAUAUGGAGGAGAAAGGGUCUGUAAUCAAAAUAUUGGAUGGUUGUGAGUUUUUUUUCAGAUAUUGGAAUUGAUGUUCUCAUUAAAAAAUAUCUCAUAAAAGUCUAUAACCAAUAUUUGUGGAUGCAUGACUUGUUGCAAGAAAUGGGAAGGAAAAUUGUUAGAGAAAAAUGUGUUGAUGAAACUGGAAAACAUUGCAAUUGUGGGAGGAAAUGGACGUCCAUCAUAUCCUAACAAAGAACACUGUAAGUCAUUCAAAAAAAGUUACAUACUAUUUCUUUUCCUUUUUAUAGAAUAUCCAAUCAAUAUAUAAUAUAAAUUCAAGGCUUAGUCAAAUUGGUAGAUAUGACAAUCCUUAAAAAGUGAUAUUUAGUAAUUUUAAGAUAAAUUAUAUUUGAUGUUUGUAGAAAUAAAUAUUUAAUUUCAUUGCAUUAAAAUCUCAAAAGUUUUAUGUUACAUUAUGCACCAUUUAUUUGUUUUUCUAUUUUUUGUUGUUGAUUUUUUUAGGCUACAGAAAUAAUUGAAGAGAUAAUCAUUAAUAAUAAAAGGUAAUAUGUAUAAAUUUGUAUCUUUGUGUAUUAUAAAUAAUAAUUUCAUUUUUUUAAACUCAAUAUUUCAUUGUUUAAUUAUAGAAUUUAUCUAGCAACAUAUUACUCUUUCAAAAGAAUCGAGAAAUAGGUAUUUUUUAAAUAUUAAUGGUAUAUAUUGAAUUAGAGGUGCUUAUGGGCUGGGUCAGGCUAUAUGCAAGGUAUUUAGACCACUUUUUCAAUCUUUGGCUCGACUCAAAAAAUGGAUUUAAUUUUUACCCAAUCUCGACCCGAUUUAAGAGAAUUAAAUUCAAGCCCAAUUUGGACCAUCCAUAUUUAAUUUUUUUAGAUUAAUUUUAUUUAAAAUUAAUUUUAAAUAUAUAUAUAUUGAGUACACUAAAAAAACUAAAAUGAAAGUUUUCUAACACAAUAAAAAGUAUUUAUAUUAAAAAAUACUACCAUAAAUAUAAUAAAUAUUUUAUUAUAUUAAAGAAUUAUGCAUUGUUUGUGGAUAAAAUAUAAAUCAGAAUAUUAAUUCAACUUUUUUUUUAAGAUUAGGUAAUUUGACAUUUGAUGUGACUGUUAGAUAUAUGUUUUAAUAUGGGUAUGUUUAAUUUUUUUUUUAGAAAGAAAAUUUUUUUUCAAAGAGUAUUUUGAUAUGCAUUAGAUAUAAGUAUUGGACACGGGUAUUUAAAUAAACAAUGUCGAUGCGAUAUAGCUUUUAGAUAUUUAAUGUCUUUGUACAUUUUGAAGUUUAUUUUUGUUUUGCUUAUGCUUAUUAGGGAAUCAAGCAAGAUACUCAAUUUUGAUGUAGAUACCUUCUUGAAAAAUGAAAAAAUUGAGAUUACUCAAAGUACAUUGCUUUUCAAAUUGUGAUAAUCUCAAAUAUAUUUCUAAUGAACUACAACUUUUAGAUUAGAAAGGAUGUCCUUAAAGUUUAUUACCUUCAAACUUUGAACUAGACAAUCUUAUCGCACAUCUCUUACCAUACAACUGCAUCGAACAACUAUGGAAAGAAAAUAGAGUAAGAAUUAACUCAUUUGAUCCUUGUGUUUUAGCUUAUUUUAAUAUAACUAAUUAAAAUUUGAUUAUGUUUUCUCUUUUCUCUCUAAUUUAUUGUUGUCUUCAACAACUCUUGUAUAAGUUGAAAAUGGUGAAUCUUAAAGUGUCCCAAAACCUGAUGAAGACACUGGACUUCACAAUAACAUCAAAUCUUGAAGUUUUGAUUUUGGAAGGUUGUACCAAAUUAGUGGAUGUUCAUCCAUCAAUCGGAGUACUUAAGAGUCUUAAACUUUUGAAUUUAAGAGAUUGCAAAAGUCUUAGGACUCUUCCAACCAAAAUUGGAAUGGAAUCUCUUGAAACAUUAAUUCUUUUGGGUUGCUCAAGCUUGUAAGGUUUCUGGAGAUUGAAAGGAAAAUGGAAUGUCUAAAAACUUUAGAUCUUUUCGAUUGUUAUAGAGUUGAAAAAUUAUCUGAGAAUUUAAAGCAUGCAAAGUUUUUGGAAGAGCUCAACUUGAGUGAAACAGCCAUAAUAGAACCACCAUCCUUCAUUUUUCAAUUUAAAAACCUUAAAGUUCUGUCUUCCAAUAGACACAAGAGACAAUCAUUUAAGUUACGACCAAAUUUGCCUUCUCUUUUUAAGGUAAUCCAAAGCAGAAAGACGAAUCCCAUGGCUCAGAUGCUGCUUUCAUUGUCAGGUUUGAGUUCAUUAACAACGCUAAAACUAAAGAACUGCAAUCUUUGUGAUGGAGAUAUUCCACGUGAUAUUUCGGGUCUAACCUGUUUGGAACAACUUAAUCUUAGUGGUAACAAUUUCAUCAGCAUGCCUGCAUCUCUUACUCGACUCUCUAAGCUUAAAUAUCUUAUAUUGUCUAACAGCAACAUGUGCACUCUUGGUUGAGCAGAUAUUCAUAGAGAUAUUUCUAGUCUAUCCUCUUUGAGUUAUCUUGAUCUUAGUGGUAACAAUUUCAUCACCAUUCCUUCGGCUCUUACUCAACUUUCCAUGUUCAAAACCCUUAUAUUGUUAGACCGCAGGAUGUUUAAAUUGUUUUCUGAGCUACCAACAAGUACAAAAAAGGUGUGGAUAGAUGGUUGUUCUUCACUUGAAGUAAUUGUAAGCCCAUCAAAAGUAUGCAAUUUAGUGUGUUGUGAUGACAUUAGAGCCAUUAACUGCUUCAAAUUGGCUGAUAAAUUCGAUGCAUUAACACUACUAAAAGAACAUAUUAAGGUCAAUUAAUCUCUGUUUUCUCCCUUACAAAAUCUCAUACUUGAGAAUUUAUGGUUUUAGUUACCAAACAACUUGUGUUUUAUUUUUCAGGCGAUUCGAUAUCCAAGAGAUUGGUUUGAUAGUGGAAUCUUUGAUAUUGUGAUGCCCGGAAGUGAAAUCCCAGAAUAGUUUAGCCAAUAAAAAAAUCACUCUUUGUUGAGCAUUGGCCUGAACUGCAACAAAAGACCAACAGUAGCAGCUUAGCAUCAAGACUAGUAGCAGCUCAAUUUAGAGAUCAGCAUUGGAGUUGAACCGAAUGCUAUGACUUCCUUAGUUCAUUUUUUUCAUUUUGUUCCUAUAUGUAACCUUGUUUAGUUUCCUUGUAAUUUGUCCAAAGUUAGUAGGAUUAGUUUUUUUAUUUGAAUUUGAUGUAAUAGCUGAUAUGUCAGCUUGCUUUUAUGUGUAAUUCAAGUUUGCAUUAGUAGGAGCUGUUAUGUCAUUAGGUAGCUAUCCAAUGUUAUGUAACUCACAUAUAUUUUCAAAUUUUAAAUGAAAAUUAUGGUGAAUUUUUCAAUUAUCAUUUUUACUAAAGCUCUAUUCUCUUUUUUCUUCGGUUCUUCUAUCUUUUUUUUUACUUUGUUUUCCUGCCAAAGAUCCAACAAAUGGUAAUUAGAGCCUGUCAUCUUUGAGGGCAUCUGUUUUUGGUUUUUUUUUUGUUAAAAUAAAAACUUGAAAGAAAUUAAAGCUGUUGAGUUUGUUUCAGCAGAAUGAGCUUCACACGACCUUCACCACCUGUGUUUACUGGAGAGAACUACCAUAUUUUGGUGGUUAAGAUGAAGACAUACCUUCAAGCACACGAUUUUGGGAAAAUGGUCGUGAAUGAUGUUGAUCCACCUUCAUUGAGGGCCAAUCCUACCAUUGCUCAAAUUAGGCAGUACAAUGAAGAGUGUGCCAAGAAGCACAAAGCAAUGACUUACUUACAUAAUAGAGUAUCUGAUGUGAUCUUGACUAGGAUAAUGGCCUGUGACUCACCCAAGCAAGCAUGGGAGAAACUGAAGGAGGAAUUCAUGGGAUCAUAUAAAACAAGGCAGCAACAAUUAAUCAAUCUCAGGAGAGAUUUUGAGAACCUAAAGAUAAAAGAGUCAAAAACCAUCAAGCAGUAUUCAGACAGGAUAAUGACCACUAUCAACAGCAUUAGGCUCUUGGAAGAAGAUUUCAGUGAGAGUAGAGUUGUUGAAAAGCUCAUCACCACUCUUCCUAAUAAGUUUGAGUCUAAAUUUUCAUCACUUGAGGACUCGAGAGAUUUGUCAACUAUUUCAUUGUCUGAGCUGAUAAAUUCCUUCUAUGCACUUGAGCAAAAGAGGGCCAAUAGGCAGGAAGAGCAUCCUGAAAUAGCUUUAUAAGAAACGGCCAAAGAAAGCUCAGGUUCAAACCAUAAAGGAAAUAAGCCUUGGCUCGAUAAAAAGGAGAAACCAAUGAGGGAUGCAGGCAAGAAAAGGUUUCCACCAUACAUUCACUGCAAGAAGACUACACACUUGGAAAAGUACUGUUGGUAUAGGCCAGACAUCCAGUGUAGAAGUUGCAAAUAGUUUGGCUAUAUUGAGAAGGUGUGCAGAAGUAAAGGGAAAGAACCAGCUCAACAGUAAAUUCAAGCUCGAGUUGCUAAGGAUCUUCAAGCUCAAGAGGAGCAUGUUUUCACAGCCUCCUACUUUGCAAUCUCAAGCAAAGUCAGAUGUGAUUUACUAGUGGAUAGUGGCUGCACACAACAUAUGGCAGCUGAUGAGAAGUUGUUCAAGGACCUUAAUAGAAGUUUUGCUGCAAAGAUCAAAACCGGUAAUGGGAAUCUGAUUGAACCCAAAGGCAGAGGAAAUAUUGUGAUCAACACUUGGUCAGGUAACAAAGUAAUUUUUGAUGUGUUUUUUGUGUCUAACAUAGAUCAAAACCUACUUAGUGUUGGAUAGUUAGUAGAAAAAAGGUAUUGAAUGGUCUUUAAAAAUGGUUCCUACAUUGUUAAAGACUCACAUGGUCAGGAAUUAGUCAUAGUAGAAAUGAAUGAUAGGUGCUUUAUGCUUUAUAUAAAUCAACUCAAGAAGAAGGGUUACACAAGUCUUAUUGAUAAUGCUGGUCGAUGGCACAAAAGGCUAGGCCAUGUCAACUAUAAAUCACUUGACUUACUACAUCAGUUGAACAUGGUUGAAGAUAUGUCCAAGGUUGAAGUCAGAGACACUGUUUGUGAAGUCUGCCAGUUUGGUAAGCAAGCUAGAUUACCUUUUCUUGUCAAUAAAGCAUGGAGGGCUCGAGACAAGCUUGAAUUGGUUUAUUCUGAUGUUUGUGGACCAAUGAAGAGUCCUUCCUUGAAUGACAGUAAGUACUUUGUUUCGUUCAUAGAUGAUUUAACUAGGUUUUGUUGGGUUUACUUCUUGAAACAGAAAUCAGAAGUGUUUGAAGCAUUCAACAAAUUCAAGGCUUUAGCUAAAAAUCAGACCGGUUGCAGAUUUAAGGCUUUAAGAUCAGACAAUGGCACUAAGUACUUGUCUAAAAGAUUUCGGAAGCUGUGUGAGCAAGCUGGGAUUUGCCAUCAGCUAACAAUAGUCUAUACUCCUCAACAGAAUAGAGUAUGUGAAAGGAAGAACAUGACAGUAGUGGACAUGGCUAGAUGUUUGCUAUUUGAAAGCAAGCUGCCAAGCAAAUUUUGGGCUGAGGCUGUGAACACCUUAGUAUAUCUGCUUAACAAGCUGCCAACUUAUGCUGUGAAAGAAAAGACACCUUUUGAAGCCUAGCAUGGAUUCAAGCCAACUGUUUCACACCUGAAGGUGUUUAGCUGUGACUGCUAUGCCCUCAUUCCAACAGAAAAAAGGACUAAGCUUGAAAGAAGGGUUGUUCCAGGGAUUUUUGUUGGUUAUAGUUGUACCAAGAAAGGUUAUAGAGUGUUUGAUCCUUCAACAAAGAAAAUUUUAGUGAGUAAGGAUGUAAAAUUUGAUGAAGAGGAGGUUUGGAGCUAGAAUGGUGCAAAUGCAAGUUUGAUUGAAGAAGAUCAGCUAGACUGUGUUUUUGAACCUGCUGAAGAAGGACCAAGCAAUGAAGCUUUUGAUGAUGUUCCUGUAAGAGGCAUCAGAACUAUUACUGACAUCUAACAAAGAUGUGAUAUUACAAUAGUUGAACCCUCUGAUUUUGAAGAAGCUACCAGAAAAACACUGGAAGAAUGCCAUGGAAGCUGAAUUAGAAAUGAUCCACAAGAAUGACACUUGGGAAUUGGUGGACAAACCAGAUCAUAAAAAGGUUAUUGGUGUCAAGUGGAUGUUUAGAGCCAAGUAUAAUGUUAAUGGCUCAUUAAAUAAGCACAAGGCAAGGCUUGUGGUGAAAGGCUACAGCUAGCAGUAUUAAGGUGAAGAAAUGUGGUAUUAGUGUAUAAGAAAGAUUUGGAAGAAAUAAAAGAGUUGCAGUGCCAUACUACUCAAUCUUCCCCAAAUUUUGAACACAUCCACCAACCCUCUGCUCACAACAAUGAGUCAAAAGGUAGCAUUUCUCACAUAAAACGAAAACUAUAUCUAUGAGGAAACGGAGGAAGAAGAGCCGCAACCAAAACGGAUGCAAAUAAUUUUCAAUUUUAUAUUGGGCCAAUCGAGUAAGAAGCAUUAACUGAGGUAAACUACUUAACGAACCUUGUUCUAUUAAUUUUUUCUUUAGACAUCUACAUUGUUUGCAUCUUGUAUUUCAUUUAAAGUAAAUCUUUUUAGAAUUGUUUACGUACGAGACAUAAUCCUUCCAUUAUAUAUCAAAAUAUUUUAAAUUUUUUAUUAAUACUCAUAUUCAAGAUGUACAUAUCCCAAAUACUGAUAACAUUGGUCUUUUUUUUUUUGUACCAUUUAAAAUUUUAGUCAAUUCAUUCCUUUAUACAUAAUUGAAAUGAUUGGCUUCAUUUUUUUAUUUAUUAAAAUUAUAUUUUCAUUAUAUAUUCACUUAUAUUUAUAUUUGAUUUGUAGGUUGAAGUAAAUAUAAUCAACUUGAGAUAGAAAUGUAGAAAAAAAAUGGAUAGCUUCAGUGAUGAAACGGGUAAUAAUAAGGUGAAAUCCUUCAAUGAGGAUUAAAUCAUAAUUUUAGCUGAGUUAAAAAUAAAUUCAUUUUUAUUUGAGAUAAACUUAUUUGUUCAAUUUAAUCAAUUAAAAUUUUAUAUAUAUAUAUUGGAAGAUUAAAUAUAAGUUCUUAAUUCUUUCUAAUAAAAGUACAAUUUAAAUUAUUUAUGUUUAGACAUUUGUUUUUAACAACUAUUCAAAUAUGAAUAUGAAGUAUGCUCUUUUAUUUAAUUGGAAAAUCUUUUCCAUGUGAGAGACAUAUUCAUAUCCAAUAUUUUUUUUCAAAAUUGAAUAGAUUCAAUUUUUGUUCUUAUCUAAUGUUAGAGUUUAAAGAAAUAAAGAUAUGGUUCUUGGGUGAGAUGAGCAAUAUUUUCAACAAUUGUAUUUUUUGUGAUAUGAAUAAAAAUUUAUUGAUUAGAGGUAAGUUAAUGUACCAAUAAUAUAUAUGAUUUCAAUGCAACAAAAAUAAUCUUGGUGUUUUAUUUUUAUCCCUAGACCAAUAGAAGAAUGAAAGUCUACUCAACGGAUCAUGCAAGUGAAGGACUAACAAAAGUCAUCAAGGUGAAAUGGAAGCGGAUAGGGAAUUAGGAUUUUGGAAAUAGAUUAUGCUAUUAUAUAAUUAGUUGUUGUAUUUUUAUGUAAUUUAUACUAUUUUAAAUGAGUUGUUUGAAAUUGCGUUUAUAAAAUUUGACACUGCUAUUUGGGUCUCAACAUUUUAUUUUGAGUCAACUUAUGAAUUUUUAAUCUAAAAUGUGUUGAUUGAACCAUUAAUUUAAUAGUGUUGUCGUGGUUGAAUAGUAAAUUCAUUACAAUUUAACAUUAAACUUUUAAUUCUUGUCUCAAUCAGACUUCUUUUCCUCUAACUCAAAGAGAAGAUAAAAGUGAAGAAAAUUCUAUUUAAUCGGGGCACAAUUAUGAUUGUUUUAAAUGAUUUAACUAUUCAAAUUAAAAACCAGUAAAAUGAAAUUAUCAAAUGUUAACCUCGAUUUCACAGAGCAAAUGUUAUAACCUUACAAAAGAUAUAUGAAAUAUUGAGAUUCAAACAAUUGAUAAGUUUUAAUGUUCUUAAAGACAAUUGGACGAAACAUUAACUAAAUCUCAAGUUAUAUUUUAGAGUGGAUUUGUCCUUUUAAUACAUAAUAAUAGAAUGAAUAGGACGAUCUUCAAACUCCAACAAGAACAAUGGGGGCUUUCAAGGCUUAUAAACCAGUUUCCGCCCUGCAAUACUCUUGGCCUUUAAAGCUGCAAAACACUCUAUCAACAAAUCUUUUGAAUUUGGAUCAUAAAUCUUAAAAUGAAACAAAUGAAAGAAAUUCUUUAAUUUAACUUCACCGACCAUGAGGUACAAAUGACUCAGUAAUUCUUAAUUCAACUUUACCAAAUGCAUAUAUAUUAGUGCAUGUGUUUGUUUUCCCAGUUCUUACAAGCUCAGGAGCCAUGUAACCAAGUUUACACGUGAGGUUUGAGAGAAUCAUUUCCAAGGUUGCAUAGCUUUGCAAGCCCGUAAUCCCCCAAUUGGGCAUUCAUGUCACAGCCUAUCAGCACAUUGGCAGGCUUGAUAUCUCUAUGAAUGAUGACUUGCACCCAUUGCUGGACACGCGCUCAAAGUUCAAAAAGCCAUGAGCAAACAAAGCAUAAAGCUUUUCAAUCACAAGGAAAUAAUUUGAAAGUUCCCAACUAAGGGAUCUCGCAAGAAACAUCUUAAAACCCAAUAUACGACCUUGAACUCAAAAAACUUAACUCGAAACACCCACUAAUUAUUAGGGAAUAAUAUAGUUUCUGUUAUUAGUUAGCAUUAGUUAUAGUUAGUUAUAGAAGCAGUUAAGGAACGGUAGUUACUCUUGCAUCAAAUAUGUGUAAUCAGCUUGAGAUAAGAAAGUGUGGAAGUAUUAUUCUUCUUUCCCGUGUAUUCUGAAUCUUAGCAUGGUAUCAAGAGCUAGGGUUUUUCUUUCUUUCUUUUGUCUUCCAUGGCUACGGAUACAUUUUCGAAUGGAGCACCUGUACCUGACACACCGCGUCAUUCCUCCAACACUAGGGAGGCUGAACAUUCGCAAGGAAAUGGCAUGGUUUUUGCACUGGCAGUUCAUUAUUUCUCCAAGCAUGAUACCAUAAAACUGUCUUCUCAUAUUUUUUUAUGGAAACAUCAACUUUUGUUGAUUCUUGAAGGCUAUGGUCUUGAAGGGUUUGUGCUAAGUAAUACUCAUUCUCCUCUUGUUUUUGUUAUUGGUUCUGAUGGUCAACAGGUUGAAAAUCCAGCCUUUCUUGUUCAUAGGAAGCAAGAUAAAUUUCUAAAUUCCUGGCUAUUAUCAACUGUUACAGACGAUAUUUUAGCUCAUCUUACAACUGCUAAAACAAGCUUUGAUAUAUGGACUACCAUUGAGAGGAGGUUUAGUGUAAAAUCAACAAUAAAGAUCUCGAGCAUGCAUCAUACGUUAUACUCACUAAAGAAAGUAAAUCUUUCUGUUAAAGACUAUAUGUCUAAGGUGAAACAGCUUAGCGAUGACUUGACUGCUGCUAGUAGUUUUAUUUCUGAGCAAGAACAAGUGAGCGUUAUCUUAGCUAGCUUGUAAGUUGAGUUUGAGUCUAUUCAGGUUUUUGCCUCUGUUACUCCGUUAUUUCUUAACUUGUUAACAGAGAUGUUACUUGAUUGUGAAUCACGUUAAUUGGAGUUGUUAACAGAAGCUCCUUGUCAAGCGAAUUUAGAAACUCGGCAUUCUGACAAUGAGGAUGGUUUGAAACAGUCUGUUGAGUCUCCAAGAUAUUCUCAGGGUUCUAAGCAAAGCUAUAGAGGACAGGGUCGAGGCUAGACUCGUAAGAAAUCUCGUGGUAAUGGACGGGGUUAGUUUCGCACUAAGCCACAGUGCCAAUUAUGUGGAAAGGUGGGCCACAUGGUUCAGACCUGUUAUCAUAAGUUUGAUGAAAAUUUUUCUAGUGUUGUAGGGUCAAACUCAGUACAAGUUAAUUGUCAUCAGUUGCAUGGAUCUGGUUGUUCUUCUUUGGUUCCUACUUGCCAAAUGUUAUCUCAUUGUUGUGUUCGUUCUCUCCAAGUUCAUCUAGUCACUUACCUUUUUGACUGUUAACGUCUUCACAGUCUAAUUCCAUUUGGUAUCCUGAUUCUGGUGCAACGAACCACAUUACACCUAAAGUGUCCAACCUCACGUCUGCCUCUCCAUAUGCAGGUAAAAAUCAUGUUACUAUGGGCAAUGGUGAGUCUGUUUUAAUUGCUAAUGUAGGCUCGUCCACUCUCUUAGUUGGGGCCAAACUUCUCUGCCUUCAGAAUGUUUUACAUGUUCCUGGAGUAUGCAAGAACUUGAUGUCUGUGGCUCAAUUUGCCAAAGAUAAUGGUGUUUGCUUUGAGUUUCACCCAGUCUUGUGUUUUGUGAAGGACAUUCAGACAGGAAUGACGUUGCUCGAGGGCCACAUGCAUGAAGGGUUAUACAGAUUUCAGUUCACUAAGUCUACUCCUACUGCUACGUUGACCUCGAAGCCUAACUCUAGUUUAGUGAACAGUGCUCAGCUAUCUUCCUCUACCUUAUGGCACGAUCAGCUUGGCGAUCCUUGUAAUGUCGUUUUGGCUAAUGUGUUGAAAUCUUGUAAUGUUUCUUUCAAACAGAAUACUUUGAGUAAUGUUUGUACAGCCUGUCAGCUAGGCAAAGCUCACAAGCUUCCUUUUUCAACUUUAAAAAUAGUGUAUUCAAUUCUUUUCGAACUUGUGGUAUCCGAUGUAUGAGGCCCUGCUCAUUUGUCUUCAAAGGGUUUUCAUUACUAUGUCUCAUUCAUUGACAUGUAUAGUAGAUACACUUGGGUUUAUUUUCUCAGAAAUAAGUCAGAAGUGGCCCAAUGUUUCUUGAAUUUUCAUCAGAUGGUUAGAAUUCAAUUUGGCUAUUCUAUUAAGAUGCUCCAAACUGAUGAGGGAGGUGAAUAUCGUGUUUUGUCUGCAGAAUUAUCUCGACUUGGUGUGCAGUACAGGGUUACUUGUCCCUAUACCUCGAAGUAAAAUGGUGUUGCUGAGAGGAAACAUCACCAGCUAGUUGACAUGGGUUUAUCUCUCUUAGCACGGGCCAGUAUACCUUUAAAGUUUUGGUUUUAUGCCUUUUUGCAUGCUGUUUAUUUGACUAACAGGCUACCUACUCCUGUUUUAUGUCACUCUAGUCCUUAUGAAGUGCUUUACAAGAUCAAACCUGACUAUAGCUCACUAGGGGUGUUUGGAUGUUCUUGCUUCCCUGAUCUUAGACUUUUUCAACAAUACAAGUUGAGUUUUCGGUCAUAACAAUGUGUGUUUCUUGGAAGUGUUCCUCACACCAAAGGCUAUAGGUGUCUUGCUGUAAAUGACCGACUUUUUCUAUCUCGACAUGUUACGUUUGAUGAAACCAAGUUUCCAUUUCGUGAUGGUUUGUAUAAGGAGUCUCCAGCAGAAUAUGUUUAAAAGGUGGCAACGACAGCAGCAAGUUGAAGAAUCCAUGCAAACUUACGUUGCAUGCAUGAAACCAGAAACUCGGCUGAAGCAUGUUGGAAUCCGUUGUGCAAUUCGACAAGCCUUGUCCUUCUAGUUGACUUUUGUUAGUCUAUGGUGUAAUCAUUGUAUGUUUUGAUCAGCUAAGGUUAAAAUGUGUGCUUAGCUGAUUUAGUAGUCAAAUUAGGUUGUCAUUUUGUUGAUGUAAACCUUUAGUUACUUGCACAAGCAAGCUGUGUUUUCUUUCUAUGUAACUUUGUUCUAUUUAUGUUUGUAACCAUGCACUUAUUCGGGUAAUGAGGAAAAACUUUUUUCUCAUUCAUCUUUUGCUUGUUCUUGCUCCGGUUUUAAGCUUUCAAACAUCUAAAACAUUCAUCUAAGUUGUUUUUUAAACUUUGUUUGCUAAGUUGAAUCCAACAGAAUAUGUAAUGGGGCAUCAUCGUGGUUCUAUACUUCCUUUAGUUAAGCCUCUUGCUCCUGAUGUGUCCACUCCAGCACAAGCAUCUUUAAGUUCAAACAAACACUCUCGAAUAAAAGUUUUUUUCUGACUAGUUGCACCUAAAUCAGUCUUCUUCUAGUAUCUCUGCUAGCUCUCCUAUAGCAGUUGAGUUGAGCAACCUGUAGCAGCUUCAUCCUCUCCAGUGCAUCUGAAUUGUCAUCCUACGCAGAUUCACUCCAAAAAUGGCAUAUUUCGACCAAGUUGAUAUAAAUAACGCGUUCUUAAAUGGGGAUUUGAGUGAAUAGUGUGGUUCGAAUGGUGAGCCUCUUAUAUGUAAGUUGAAGAAGGCUCUAUAUGGUCUCAAGCAAGCCCUUCGAGCUAGGUUUCAGAAGCUAAGGGAACUUUUGGUUGCCAAGAGAUUUGAGGUAUCCAAGGCAGAUAGCUCUCUCUUCAUUCUUCAAUCAGGUGCCCAGUUAUUGUAUGUCCUAGUUUACGUUGAUGACAUUAUCGUCACUGGCAAUGAUUCUCAGGUUGUGGAUCAUUUUGUCACCAAAAUUAAUGCUCGAUUUUCUUUGAAAGACUUAGGAAGCUAAGCUAUUUCCUUGGCAUAGAGGUUAAGUACACAACAGAAUGAGUGUUUCUGUCGCAGGUAAAGUACAUUCAAAACUUACUUUGCAAAGCCUCCAUGGAUCGAUCCAAUGCUCUUCCUACACCAAUGGUCACAAAUUGCCAUUUGUCAACUACUGAUGGGAGUCCUAUUGAGGAUGAACGUCAUUACAGGAGCAUUGUUGGUGCCUUACAGUACAUGGUGAUAACCAGGCCCGACAUUGCUUACUCAGUAAAUAAAAUGUGUCAGUUCAUGCAUAAGCCAUUAGAUGUACACUUCAAAGCAGUCAAAAAGAUAUUGCAGUAUUUACAAGAGACAUUGGGCUAUGGUUUAAAAUUCACUCGAGCAUCUAAAUUUCUACUUAAAGGUUAUUCCGACGCUAGUUAGGGGUCUGAUGUUGAUAACCGCAGGUCAACCUCUGGAUUUUGUGUUUUUCUUGGGGGGAAUCCGGUCUCUUAGAGCUCCAAGAAACAACAGGUGGUCUCCCGAUCUACAGCAGAGGCAGAGUACAGAAGUGUUGCUCACAUAGCUGCGGAAAUGAUUUGGAUCCAGUCAUUGUUACGUGAAUUGUGUGUUCCACUGUUGUCCAAGGCUUUAAUCUGGUGUGAUAGUUCAGCAGCGGUAGCAGUAGCAGGAAAUCCUGUUAUGCACUCCAAAUUCAAGCAUGUGGAAUUGGAUGUGUUUUUUGUCAGAGAAAAGGUAGCAGCUGGGGUCCUUCAGGUUGGCCAUGUUCCAAGUUCUUACCAGAUUGUAGACAUACUAACAAAACCACUAUCGGUAUCAGUGUUUAAUAGGUUUCGAAGUCAGCUUUGUGUUGUUAACAUGUCUUAGAAGGAGUUUGUUCAGCAAGAUGAAAGAUAAGUACGGGGAAUAUUAGGGAAUAAUAUAGUUUUUGGUAUUUGUUAGCAUUAGUUAUAGUUAGUUAUAGAAGCAGUUAAGGAACGGUUGUUACUCUUGCAUUAAAUAUGUGUAAUCAGCUUGAGAGAAGAAAGUGUGGAAGUAUUAUUCUUCUUUCCCGUGUAUUCUGAAUCUUAGCACUAAUUAGCUCAAGAAUUCCUUUCCAGGGUGAAUGAAUGGCUAAACAAAGGCAAUAGUAACUCAUUCCCGGUACAUGGUAAGAGGAACUUGCAUGUUAAUCAUGUCUAUUGACUAGCAUUUCCACGAAGAAGUAGUUUGCAUAACGAAAUCCCUUCCAAAGUCGCACUACUACAAGUGCCUGAGUAUCAAAGAGCAAUAUACUACCAAGUGAAUUUGUGAUAGCAUCAAAAUGACACUGGGUAAUAAGGUGAGCUUUUCACCCUUUCUUAGUAGUCCAAUGUUAUUUAUAUUCACUACAAAUUUAAUCAAUUCAACUUGAAUUUCAUUUCACUUUAUUGAUCAAUUCGAAAAAAAUUCAAAUCAAAUUAAGAUGAUAAAAUAGGACUCCUCAACUUGACUAACUCAAAAUUUUUUUUUACUUGAUUGGACUAGAUUCGGUUGAAUUCUCACCCCUAGGCAAGCAAAGAUUUUAUGAGGCGAGCCAAGUCUUAACUUUUUAUGCUUACUCAAGCUCGGUUCGAUCCAAAAUAUAGACUUCAAAUUUUGUUCAAGCCCAUCCACAUUUGUAAAUAACUAAUUUAAAUUCGUUUUAAGUUUGUCCAUAUUAUUAUUUUUUACAAGAUCCAUAUUAUAUUUUAGAAAAAUAUUUUUAUUUAAUAUUUAAUAUUUAAUAUUUAUAUUUUUUCUUUUAUUAGAAUUUUAAACAUCAACAAUGGUUAGGACUAAGGUUAUCCAAGAAUUGAAGACUCGAUAAUUAAUCAAUUAAGACCUGAUCAAUCUAGACAUUGUCACAACUUGAGUGUUUUAUUGGUAUAUUAGUAUUUUUCAGGUCUUGUACUUUUAUUCAAAUCCUACCAUAUUUAGAAUGAGUAUUUGAGGUUGGGUGAAUAGAUCCACCCUUAAAUAUGUUUAUUUUGAAAUUAAUCAUAAUGUUGAAUUUUAACUUUGAGAUAUAACUCCAGACAAAAAAAAAACAAGUUAGAUAAAAUUAUUGUUCAAGUGAUGAAGGACUCAAUAAAAAGUCUUUAAUUAACACUAAUCUCAAGUAAAUGCGCCAAAGGUAGGGUCAGGUUCAAGCAUAUGUAUAGUAUUAGCAUAAUGCAUGCUUGCUCAAACCCAAUUUGGCUCAAAAUAUUAUCUACAACAUUGUUCAAGUCAUGCUUAUAUUUUAAAUGAAACUUUUUUUUUGUCUAAAGCCCUAUUUUUGAGUUUAAACCUUUCAAAAUUCUAAAAUUAAAUUUAUUUUAUAUGUUGAUUUAUAUAAUAUAUAAAAACAACUCCUAUAAGAGUUUUAGGGAAAUAAAUAGUUGAAAAUAUACCUUCACAUUUCUGAUUCUUUUGGUGAAUAUAGAUAAAAAUAGGUUUAUUGAGCUAAAUAAAAUGGCAAAAUAAAUAUUGUGAAAUUUAAAUAAUAAUUAAAAAUAAUUAUUCUUUAUAAUAAUUUUUGUCUCUAAAAUUUAAAUUUAAGUAUAUAUUUCUAAAUGUAAUGUGUUAUGUCAUGCACUCAACACUUACGUAAUAAAAAGUAUUUUAAAUAAUAAUAAAAAAUGUCACAUAAACAAAAAUUAACAACAAAUUUAAUUCCCUUAAUUGAAGAUUACUUUCAAUCAUUUGAAUCUCUCAAAAUUGUUGACAUUAAUGGUGAGCCAAUUGAUCCUACCUCGCACAACAUCCAAGUGUCAGCAUGGCGAUAAUCUCUCAAUGUACGAUUUGUUAUUGCCCCGGCCGUCAGAUAAGAGGUUUGAGCUCCUCUAGAUUCGAAAGACUUAUAAGGUGGAUUUUCAAAGAGAGGAUUAUUACACGACAGAUCGAAAAUCGAUAAUUUGACUUGCGGUGGGUCCUCUUUUGGAAGUUACCCAUGCCUCACAUUGGUUACAAUCCUUUCUAGCUGGAAAUCACAUGGGGCUAACUCAUUACCCAAACAUGCAAAAAUCAACGCGAUUCAACUUAUCACACACAAAGCUACCUAGAAACGACGACAACAACUUAAUCAUGCACAUCAAUAUUCGUACAUCAAGUAUAGAAUUAGCACGAAAUAUAGAAAUAAAUAACUAUUUUAUAAAUAUACUCUUAAUUUUUUUUAUUUUUUUAAGUAUAACAAAUACAAUACAAUUACAAUAAUUAAACAACAUAAAACAUCAUAAUUAAGCAAAAAGGAGUAAUGUACGAAAUAUCCACGUUACCCUCAGGCCCGUUCUUGAUAUUUUUAAGGUCUUAGGCGAAACAAUAAAUCGAACCCUUUUAAAAAAAAUUAUAAAAUGCAAUAUAAUAAAAUAAAAUCAUAUACCAGUAAUUUCAUUAAAAUAAUAUCUAUGGCAUUAAGCGAAUAAUAUAUUUUUCUAACAAAAUUAAAAUACAAAUAUAUUUGCCAUUCAAUCUACUCCUAUGUCAUCAACUAUAAAAAACACAAAAAAUCAUAAAAAUAGAUUCUACGAACAUUUUGAUAUGCAAAAUCAUUAGAAAAAUUGGAAACUUAAUAUAUAUAUAAAUUUAAAAACAGGAGCGAAAUUAGUGGGUGCGGCAGGUUCGGUCUCUCUAAAAAUGAAUUUUUUUUAUUUAAGGUCUUUAAAAUUUUUAAUUAGUAAAAGUAAAAUAAUAAAUUGAUCAGUAAAAGUAAAAUAAUAAAUUGAUCCCUAAAAAUAUAAAAAUUUGAUUUAAUCAUUCAAAAAUUAUAAAAAUAUAAUUUCGGCCCCAAAAAAAUUCCUGAUUUCACCCUUGCUUAAAACCAUUGCUUCAAGAUUAAAACCAACGGGAUCAAGUUUCCCAAGAAAAGAAUAAAAAGCAGGAUAAGUAAUUAAUAUACAAACUCGAGUUAUUAGUCGAGUCGAAUACGAACUUAGUAAUACUCCGUUCAAAUAGUUCACAAGUCGUAUCUAACUUUUUAAUUUUAACAUACAUUUUAAAUAUUUUUAUAUUAUUAAAUUAUAUUAUUUCUUUAAUAUAUAUUAUUAACUUUAAGUUUAAUUAUCGAGUUGAGCUCGAGCUCGAACACAUAUAAGUUUAAUCGGGCUCAAGUUAAAUGUUGAGUAUAAAAAAUUAUUUUUAAUUUUUCUGAAAUGUUUACAAAUAUCCAUAGUAUACAUUUGUAAUUCCCCAUGCUAUACAAAGUUCUUAUUGACUUGAUCACUCAUAUUCACAUUAGUCCCUCUCAUCCUCAUUCCCGCUAACUUCUUUAUUUUUCCCAAGUAAUAUAAGGUGUAAUAAAAAGUAGAUUGAAUGACUAUGAAUUAUUUUGGGUUUGACGAACAUAUUACAUAAUUGUCAUUCUUAAAGUUAGCUUGAUGGUGAAUCGAAGGUGACAGUCUGGAUUUGUUCAUAUUCUAAGGUUACAUUGGUAUUCUCCCCACUUAAUAUACUAAACAACCUACUGUGUAAAGAGUGUGCUCAAAUUGAUGGUCACAUGCUUCAAAAUUAUAUUUUAAUUAUUAUUGUCAUAAUCUUAUAAUUAAAUACGUAAAAUACAAACCGACCAACAUUUUUAAUUAUUACCUAUAAUUAAAGUAGACUCCACUUUGCCAACUCUCACCUUCUUGGAAACAACAUCCAUCGCUCAUCUUUGACCCCUAAUUUCCGCCCCUAUGCUCCUAUACUUACUUUUCUAGUUUCUUUGUGGGUAUUGGGCCACCUAUUUUCUGAUUUUGAACACCAGAUUGAGAAAUUCUUCUCCUUUCAUGCAUCCUCAUGUUGUCCUUACCUUCAACUUCUUCCUCCUUUUCUAAAAAGAAAUAUGAUGUUUUAGAGGUGAAGAUACUCGCAACAACUUCACGGAUCAUCUUUAUGAUGCUAUAACUAAUAGAAAAGUCAACACUAUUAAUUAUAUGUCUAACUGAUAACAUUAUAAAAAUAUAUGAUUAAAUUAGGUUAGAAAUUAAAUCUUAAAUUUAGGCAUAAUAAAAAAAACUAAAAUUGAAAUUCUAACAUUUUCUUGUAAUGUAAAAGAAAAAAAUCCUAUACAUUAAAUUAAUAAAUUGUAUUCAUACAUAAAAUAUUAUGAUAGUGAGUAAAUAUAAGUUAUUUUAGUCUGCACCUAAUGAACAUUUUAAAUGCUUCAAAUAGAACUUAAUCAUAUAAAACGCAAAAUGUGAGGGACCGAAUUUAAAAUAAUGCAUUGUCCUCCAAAUACUCCUUUAAUUUAUAGUUAUAUAGACAAUUAUAUGAUUAUGUAAAUGAAAGUAAAACACAAACCGUCCAACACUCUACUUAUUACUUAGAAUUAUUGUACGCUCCAUUUUGUCAACACCCACCUUCUUGGAUUCUUCCUGGGAAGAACAUGCAUCACCCAAUGUCCACACCUACUCGUAUUCAUUUCGAAAAUGAAAAGGUUAUAGAGAAAUUGCUUAGAAACGUCCUUUAUUCUUCCCUGGAAUUUUUCAUCUGUUUUUCUCAAUCUUCACUCUCAUAUACUUAUUGUUUCUAGUUCCUUUCUGGCGUAUUGAGCGAUCAAUUUUCUGAUUUUGAACACUACAUCCACAUAUAUAUUUUUCUUCUCAAACAUCGUCAUGUUGCCAUUACCUUCAACGUCCUCAUCCAUUUCUAGAAAGAAAUAUGAUGUUUUCUUGAGUUUUAGAGGUGAAGAUACCCGCAACAAGUUUACCGAUCAUCUCUAUGAUGCUUUAAGUAGGAGUGGGAUCGUCACUUUCAGGGAUGAUCCAAAGCUGGAGGCCAGCGAAGAGAUCGCGCCAGAACUCUUUAAAGCAAUUCAGCAAUCAUGGUGUUCAGUAAUCGUUUUUUCACAAACUUAUGCCUUUUCAAGUUGGUGCUUGGAGGAGCUUGCUGAGAUUGUUAAACAACAUAACAACGACAGCCAUAAAGUGUUUCCAAUUUUUUACGAUGUUGAUCCAUCUGAUUUAAGAAAACAAAAAGGGAAAGUGGAAGAAGCCUUUGCCGGACAUGAAGAGAGAUACAAAGAAGAAAGUGAGAAGAUCCAAAGGUGGCGAAAUGCUUUAAUUCAAGUGGCUGGAAUCAAGGGUUGGCAUUUAAAUAACAGGUAAUUCUUUCUUUUCUUAUCUACUUUCUAGUUUUUUGGAUAUAUAUAUGUAUGUAUGUAUAAUUUUUUUUUCCCCCUAAUCCUAUGUGUUUAAUUGAAAAGUGUCAUAUUUCAAUGAAAGAGCAAAUUUUGUCUUCUGGCUCCGCAACAGAUCUUGCUUUCUUAUUUUUGGUUCUUGUUUGCUCCGAAACUAUAUUAUGUUUCAUGAUUCAUUGAAAAAGAAGUGCACUCGAAACAUAUCAAUAAAAUUUUACUCAAAACAUUAAAAUUUCAUUUUUUUUAGGCCUGAAUCAAAAUUUAUUGGAGACAUUGUUAAGAAGAUAUCAGCAAAACUACGUCAGACAUAUCCAGUUACUCAUAGCGACUUGGUUGGUAUUAGUGAACGCUUGGAGGAUUUGUAUUUGAAAAUAAACAUUGGGGAAGAUGAUAUCCGCGUUAUAGGAAUUUACGGAAUGGGUGGCAUCGGUAAAACGACACUCGCAAGAGUUGCUUACACUCAAAUGUCACCUUAUUUUGAAGGCAAAAGUUUCAUUGCUGAUAUUCGAGAAGUUUCAGACAAAUGCGGACUAGUUUCUUUACAGAAACAACUUCUUUCACAGAUCUUUCAUGGUGAAUGCUUCAACUUUUUCAAUGUUCAUGAUGGAAAUUACACAAUUAGCCAUAGGUUGUCUCACAAAAAGGUUCUUGUUGUUCUUGAUAAUGUUGAUAACAUACAACACCUAAAAUGCUUGGUUGGAAGGCGUGAUUGGUUCGGAUUAGGGAGUAGAAUCAUUGUAACAACAAGAGACGAACAUUUGCUUCGAUGUUGCCAAGUUGAUGAUGUGUAUAUGCCCACAACACUGAAUCCCAAAGAUGCGCUUCAACUUUUGUAUCUCAAAGCUUUCCAUAGUGAUACAGUGCCGAAAGAUGAUUUCAUUGAACUUUCUAAACAUGUUGUAAAUUAUGCUGGUGGACUCCCUUUGGCUCUUGAAGUUUUUGGUUCCUUUUUGUGCGGUAGAGAUGCAACGCAAUGGAGAAGUGCGAUUGAAAGACUUAAAAGUGAUUCUAAUAAAGAAAUUCUCAAUACACUUCGAAUCAGUUUUGAUGGACUCGAAGAAAGGGAUAAGAAUAUAUUUUUAGAUAUAGCAUGCUUCUUCAACUGGGAGAAGAAAGAUUUUGUAAUGAAAGUAUUGGGUGGUUGUGAGUUUUUCUCCGAUAUUGGAAUUGAUAUUCUCAUUGAGAAAUCUUUAAUAAAAGUCGAUGGUGGCAACCAAUAUUUGUGGAUGCAUAGCUUGUUGCAAGAAAUGGGAAGAAAAAUUGUUACAGAAAAAUGUAUUGAUGAACCUGGAAAACGUUGCAGAUUGUGGGAGGAAAAGGACGUCCAUCAUGUCUUAACAAAAAACACUGUAAGUCAUUCAACAAAAGUUACAUACUAUUUCUUUUCUAUCCUACAUUAUUCACCAUUUAUUUUAUUUUUUUUAUUGUCUAUUCUUGAUCUUUUUUAGGCUACAGAAAUGAUUGAAGGCAUAAUCAUCGAUAAUAAAAGGUAAGAAGACACACAUAAACUUAUAUCUAUAUGUACUGUAAAUAAUUAUUUAUUUUAAAUAUGAUAAAAAAAACUAUAGUAAAACUUUUGACGUUCAAUAUUUGAAUUUUUAAUUAUAAAAUUUAUCUAGCAACAUAUUUACUUUUUCAAAAGAAUCAAAAAGAAAUGUAUAUAUUUUUGAAAUAUUAAUGGUAUUUUUUUUGGUGAAAGUUAAUGGUAUAUAUUUAAUGUACUAAAAGUGUAUAUCAACGAAUUAUAUUAUAACAUGUCAUCAAAUUUUUUUUAAUGAAAAUUGUUUCAUUUUUAAUUAUGUGUCAGUGUUCGGUUCAUUAACUUGUAAAUUAUGCAUUGUUUGCGGACCAAAUAUAAAUCAACAUAUUAAUUCAAUUUUUUAGGAUUAGGUAGUUUAACAUCGGAUGUGAUUGUUAGAUAUAAGUAUCUCUUUAAUAUGGGUAUAUUAAAAAAAUUUAAAAAUUAUUUUUUUCACGUAUUUAAGAGGUUCUUAAAGGAUCAUCUCUUAAUACCCAUAUACGAAUAUACAUUAGAUAUAAGUAUUGGAUACGAGCAGUACUUAAAAAACAAUAUCGAUGCAACAUUUCUUUUAGAUAUUGAAUGUUUUUGCAUAUUUUGAAGCUCAUUUUUGUUUUGCUCAUGGAUAUUAGGGAAUCGAACAAGAUGUUCAAUUUAAGUGUGGAUACCUUCUUGAAGAUGAAAAAACUGAGAUUGCUCAAAGUGCUUUGCCUUUCAAAUUGUGAUGAUCUCAAAUAUCUUUCUAAUGAACUACGACUUUUAAAUUGGACAGGAUACCCUUUAAGAUACUUGCCUUCAAGCUUUCAACCAGACAACCUUGUUGCACUUCUUUUACCAUAUAGUCACAUUCAACAACUAUGGAAGGGAAAUAGAGUAAGAAUUAACUCAUCUUAUCCUUGUGUUUUAGCUUAUUUUAAUAUAAAUUAUUAAACUUUGAUUAAGGUAAAAAAAAACAAAACAAAAAUGAGCAUUAUUAUGUUUUCUCAUUUGUUUCUAAUUUAUUAUGGUCUUCAACAGCCCUUGUUUAACUUGAAAAUAAUGAACCUCAAAGGGUCUCAAAACCUGAUCAAGACACCAGACUUCACAACAGCAUCAAAUCUUGAAGUUUUGAUUUUGAAAGGUUGUACCAAAUUAGUGGAUGUUCAUCCAUCAAUCGGGGUGCUUAAGAGCCUUAAACUUUUGAAUUUAAGAGAUUGCAGAAGUCUUAGGACUCUUCCAACCAAAAUUGGAAUGGAAUCUCUAGAAACAUUAAUUCUUUCGGGUUGCUCAAGUCUUAUAAGGUUUCCGGAGAUUGAUGGGAAAAUGGAACGUCUAAAAACUCUAGAUCUUUCCGGUUGUUAUAGAGUGGAAAAUUUAUCGGAGAAUUUGCAGCAAGCAAAGUUUUUGGAAGAGCUCGACUUGAGUGAAACAGCCAUAACAGAACCACCAUCCUUCAUUUUUCAAUUUAAAAAUCUUAAAGUUCUGUCUUUCAAUGGGCGCAAGGGACCAUCAUAUAAGUUACUACCAAAAUUUCCUUUUCUUUUCAAGGUAAUCCAAGGAAGAAGGACGAAUCCCAUGGCUCGGAUGUUGCCUUUGUUGUCAGGUUUGAGUUCUUUAAGAGAGCUAAAACUAAGGGACUGCAAUCUUUGUGAAGGAGAUAUUCCACCUGAUAUUUCUGGUCUAUCCUGUUUGGAAAUACUUGAUCUUAGUGGUAACAAUUUCAUCAGCAUACCUGCAUCUCUUACUCGACUCUCGAAGCUUGAAAUUCUGCGAUUGUCAAAUUGUAACAUGUGCACUUUUGGUGAAGCAGAUACUCAUAGUGAUAUUUCUGGUCUAUCCUCUUUGAAUAUACUUAAUCUUAGUGAUAACAAUUUCAUCAGCAUACCUGCAUCUCUUACUCGACUGUCGAAUCUCGGAAAUCUUAUAUUGUCAAAUUGCAACAUUUGCACUUUUGGUGAAGCAGAUACUCAUGGUGAUAUUUCUGGUCUAUCCUCUUUGAGUUAUCUUAAUCUUAGUGGUAAGAAUUUCAUCACCCUUCCUUUGGCUCUUACUCAACUUUCCAGGCUCAAAUUGCUUAAAUUGUCAGGUUGCAAGAUGCUUAAAUCGUUGCCUGAGCUACCAACACGUAUAGCACUUUUGAAAAUAGAAGGUUGUUCUUCACUUGAAGUAGUUGCAAGUCCAUCAAAAGUAGUACGCAAUUUAGUGGGUGGUGUUGACAUUUGUGCCACUAACUGCUUCAAAUUGGCUGAGGAAAUCAAUGCAGUAAUGCUGCUGAAAGAACAUAUUAAGGUCUAUUAAUCUAUUUUUUCUCCCUUACAAAAUCUCAUACUUGAGAAUUUAUGGUUUUAGUUACCAAACGACUUGUUUUUUAUUUUGCAGGCGGUUCAAUGGUUUGAUAGAAGUGACUCCUUUAAAAUUAUAAUUCCCGGAAGUGAAAUUCCAGAAUGGUUUAGCCAACAAAAAAGUGACUCUUCAAUUAAGAUACCCCUACCUAUCAACCAGCUUUGGAAAGAUAGUCAAUGGAUUGGAGUUGCUUGUUGCUGCAUUUUUGUCAAUAAUGAUGCUUCAAUGCAUGACGAGUCUAUCGGUUGUGGAGUAAAUAUCUAUUGUAGAAAUUCUGAACAAGCCAGCUGUAAUGGAUCUAUUUUUCGAGGUAGAAAUUAUGAACUGAUUAAUUGGAGUGGCUGGGGGCUAGACGAACCAAUAAUGAAAGAUCACCUUUUUCUUCGUUAUUGGUCGCGUGAUAACUUCUAUCCUUCCUUGGAGGAUGAAUAUGACGACUGUGAAACCACUAAUUUAUGGACAACACAUUGCUUAGAUCCAAAAUGCGAUGAGCUUGAGGUGUCUUUCAGGGAAAGCAGUGUUAAGGUGAAGAAGUGUGGUGUUAGAAUAGUGUAUGAGAAAGAUUUGGAAGAAAUGAAAGAGUUGCAGUGCGAUACCACUCAAUCUUCUCCAAAUUUUGAGCACAUCCACCAACACUCUGCACAAAACCAUGGAUCAGUAGGUAGCACUUCUCACAUAAAACGGAAACGUAAUAUCUAUGAGGAAAUGUAGGAAGAAGAGCCGUAACCAAAACGGAUGCAAAAAAAUUUCAAUUUUGUAAAGGGCCAAUCAAGAAAGAAGCAUUAACUGUGGUAAACUACUUAACCAACUUUGUCCUAUUUCAUUUAAACAAUUAUUCUAGACUUGUUUUGCAUAUGAGAUAUGAUCCAAAACAUUGUAAAAAAUUGUAUUCAUACUCAUCAUAUUCAACAUGUACAUAUCUCAAAUGUUGAUAACAUUGUUUUUUUAUACCAUUUAAAAUUUUAGUCACUUAAUUCAUUCCUUUUUACAUAAUCUAAAUGUGUAUAUUUUGAUUGGUUUCACCUUUUUUUAUUAAAAUUUUAUUUCCACUAUAUAUAUUCACUUACAUCUAUAUUUUAUUUAUAGGUUGAAGAUGAGGCAAAUUAAAACAAAAUUGUGAGACAAAAAUGGAGACAAAGCAAGUAAUGAUAAAAUGAGAAUCCUUUAAUAACGAUCUAUCAUAAUUUCAACUGAGUUAAAAAUCAUUUUAUUUUUAUUAGAGACCAACUUAUGUAUUCAAUUUAAUUGGUCAAAAUUGUUUUUAUACAUUUAAAAAAUUAAAUAUAAAUCCUUAAAGGUACUUAAAUAGAUUUAAUCCCUUUUAAUAAAGUAUCAUUUAAAUUUCAUGGCUUGAAGUACAAAUAAUAUUAUUCCAACACUUCAGUUUGCGUUUUUUUAUAAAAUAUUUAUAUUUAGACAUUUAUUUUUAAUAUUUAUUCAAAUAUGAAUAUAAAGUAUGCACUGAUAUUCAAUUAGAAAAUCUUUUGUGCGUGAGCACUUAUUCAUAUUUUUUUCUUUUAAAAAAUUCAAUAGAUUCAUUUAUCUCUCCUCGCUGGACCUCCAGCUGGUUUCGCCAUUAUAAUCUGCAAACAUUGAAUCAACAGUAUUACUGACCUUAGUGGAAGAAAAUCAUGGGAAAAUGAAAUACAGAUGCGAUCCUAAGCAACAAAUACAGCUUUGCAUGAGAACCUAAUCCCAUCACCAAACUUUUUUAAGUGCUUGGAACUUGAAAUGAGAGCUCUUCCUUAUCCUGCUCUAUCUUCUGCAACUAAUGUAAAAGAGUUACAACAAUGCAUACACAAACAAAACGAAUAUGGCGGCCUUCAGCUUCAUCAAUACACUAAAUACGCCUAGGUGAUCAAGAUGGAGGACUAUACUUAAGAUGGUGCUCAUAGAAGCUGAUUAACUGCAAUGGAAGAAAACAAAACAAAAGAAGUGCAAGAAUUGUCAGCUCUUUGAGUCAAUUUAAUGAAGGAAAAGAAUGAUCCAUUACCAGCAGUGGAUUGUUAGCUUGAAGAUAUUGGUUGUCCACCAUAACCUCUUUUCCAUCGGACCUGUCAAAAUGUGACAAACAAAAUUUAUCAUCGACAACAUGAACUUCAAGAAAGUGCAGCAUAAAUUUGACUCUCAGAGACUCCAACAACAGAAUCACAUCUAAGAUCAAAAAGCUAAAAAUUUUAGCAUUCUAGCAGUUCAUGUCCUAAAUUACUUGCUAUGUUAGGGGCCACUAGUGAUAGCAUCAUCAAUUUCUCGUAAAUAAAAUCCUCGGGAAUGAAAUAAAAAACUGUUAUUUGAAGGUAAAAAGAAUACUCCGAAACCCAAAAAGAAAUGUCUAAAUCAGGUCAUACGUACUCAAUCAGCACAUAGUGCUUAAGAAGUGUAGGACAUUCUCCCAAAUCGAGAACUAAAGAAAAACAUGAUGAUUUCUAAGAAACUAUAUCCAAAUACAUGUGCAAACAUGAUAGUUACAACAAAAAAAGACUACAUAAAAUGCCCCAACAACAACCGAAACUCUAAAGAGCGACAUGAAUGAUGAAAGUACAUUAAGUGCUAAUACAUCGCAACAUGAUAAGUUGAUAACUUACGCAAGCAAGAACCAAACUUCAAUCCAAUAACACCACACACCAAUAGCAAAGCAAGAUUAUUUUGAAGUCAGCUGAACUAAAACUUCAGAAAUUUUUUAGAGUAAUUAAAUUGAUUAGGAUCUGAAAGGGCGUAUAUGUUGAAGGCUAGAAGUUUCAGCCUAAAAGGUACUAAGCAAUGCAUGGAUGUAAUUUCAAGACAUGAUACGUCAGCCAAUUAAGGUACAAAGGCAAGCAAUCGUACAUUUUUGCAAGUUAUUUGCAUUCCAUUUACUUCUUAUAGAAUACGAGAAUUAAAAAUCAUAGCAAUGCUCAAAAUAUAGCUGAAAGAUUCAUUCGGUUCAAAGGUGAUUGAAAUAGAGUUUGUAACAAACCUGAUUGCCAAGAAGGUUACUGACACAUUUGAGUGUUGGCUGAUACGGAAUCCGAAAAUCUACAGGCUUGAGGAUCUUGGUUAUGACAGGUACACUUAAAGAAUUAUCAAUCGGGGACCUAUGACUCGAACUGUCUGCUGCUAAACCAAGAUUUUACGAUUUCCAUCUCUGCAUCUGUAAUUGCAUAUCCAACAUGGACAUUUGUAGCAUUUUGAGUCAAAUUAGGUCCAGAAGAGGCUGGAUCCUGUUUAAACCUCUUAACAGAACCAGACUUCCUCCUUUUAGCUCCCGUGCGACGAUCACUCUGAACUGAUUUCCCACGGUCAACCUUUGGUAACCCAUUUACAGGUCCAUCACCUUCAGCAGCUCUGCCUUCUUGAAACCGAAUUGCAAGCUUAUCUUUAUUGCCCCCUUCAGAAGAUAAUGCACCUUUUAGCUCACUGAGUUUGGUAUCAUAAUCAUUUUCAUGCUUUGUCUCGUCAAUUUUCUUUGAACCGUUAGCAGAAUUGUCAUCCUUAACUCUUUUAGCUGUCACUGUUAUUUGUUUCAUUGAAAAGACCAAGAUGCUGGACGGGAUGAGCUCCAGGAAUUCCUUUGUUAGGCGAGAUUACAAAGACUAUUCCAUGGCCAUGGAAGUGUCCCGGUACAUUUGCAAAAAUGGAUGUGUUAGAAAAGGAGGAAACACUACCAUUUUUGGAAACCGAAUGGUAGUAGUUUUGUUAUUAAUUUUGUAUUAUGCAUAAAGUUAGAUUUAGUCUAUAUUCUCUAGAUCAUUUUUAAUCAUUAUAAUUUUUGAAUUUUAGUCUUAAUACAAACGUUAAUAAUUAAAUCUAUUGAAUGCUUUUAUAUAGUAAUAUGUAAAAAUAACAAGCUGACAUAAUAUUACACAUGCCAUAAUAUAUUUGCCGCAUCAAAUUUUAAAAAUAACAAAACCUAUCUUAAUAAUUUAAUUGCUAUCAUCUAAUCUCAUGUUCUAUGUUCCCUUGAAGUUGAGCACCUUGAUCCACUAAAUCUUUCCUCUUUGUAUACCCUCCUCAAGCACAGGCAAAUGGCAACCCCAACUAAUAUACCCAAACUUGCCACUGGAACCAUGAUCCAAACCCACAGUUGUUUGCCAUUUCCUCCUAUAUCAGUAUCAGAAAACGCCCACGAUUUCACACAGUUGAGCUCAGCUUCAUUGCUUGUUGAACC
This 51439-nucleotide long non-coding RNA is filed under the name Gossypium barbadense (sea-island cotton). RNAcentral's name for it is "long non-coding RNA (GBAR_LNC021301)". The record is from RNAcentral. Lineage: Eukaryota; Viridiplantae; Streptophyta; Magnoliopsida; Malvales; Malvaceae.